UUCUUUUUUUGUUUUUCGUUUUUGUUUUUUAUUCCAUUUUUUCUUGUACAAAUAAUUUGAGAUUUCAAAUAAGUUCCAAAAUUCAAACAAAUUGAAUUUCGAACAAGUUUGUGGAGCCAAAAAAAAUUCCUUGAAUUCGAAUAAUGUUCACGAAUUUGAAAAAAAUAAUCAUGAUUUCGAAAAAUGUGCAUGAAUUUUAAUAUUAAUAAAAACAAAUAUCAGAUGAACAAAUUUUGAAUUUGAUGAAUAUUUUUCUAAUUUGAGUAUAAAUUCUCAAUUCAAGAACAUUUUUUUGAAAAUUGGAUGGACUUUUAGAAAAAUUGGAUGAACAUUUUUUAAAUUAUGGUGAAUUGUUUUCAUUUCACAAACAUUUUUUGAAUUAGAUAACAUUUUUUUUUGAAAUUGAUGAAAAAAUUAUCAAUUCAAGAACAUUUCUUUGAAAUCGGAUGAACUUGUUAAAAAAUGGAUGAACAUGUUUUGAAUUUAAUGAAAAUUUUCUAAAUUAUGGUGAACAAAUUUUGAAUACGACGAACAAAUUUUGAAUUUCAUCAUGAACAUUUUUUGAAUUAGAUGAACAUAUUUUUAUAUCAAUGGACAAAAAAAUAUUCAUGAUUUGAGUAAAAGUUCAUGAAAAUGAGAAAAACAAAAACAAAGAAGAAAAAGGAAAAGAUAAUAGUAAUCGAAAACAAAGUAAAGAAAAAUGAUAAACAAAAAGGAAAGCAAAAAAGGAAAAAAUGAAAAAGAAAAUGAAAAAGGAGAGAAAUACAGAGAGAAAAAACCGACCAAACAUGAUCAACCUGGGCAAGCCCACUUAUGCGCAGCGGGGAGGGGGCGGGGGGCACGCGUGUGGUCGCUUCGCGGCGACCUAAGCGCCGAAUAGGAGCUGCCCGGGGCCUGGACCCUGGGUGACCGGGGGCCAGCUCUGCCCCAACGACUGAGACGGUGACGCUGACCGCGGUGGGGAAGGAUAUGGCUGAGAGCAACUAACUGGAGGUUCCGAGAGUUGCUAAAAAAAUAGGAGGUUCCUAGACUAUAAAAACCUGACUCGAGGUUAUCCCUUGCGGGGACCCAAGGGUCACUUUUGGUGUUCUUAGAGCACGCUGAAAGGAUCGAUAUAGUUGACUAGAGGGAGGGUGAAUAGGCAACUAACAAUUUUUAGCUUUUCUUUACCAAUUUAAACUUUGCAUCAAAGUAGGUUGUCUAGAUAUGCAACUAGGUGAGCAACCUAUAUGAUGCAACAACAAUAAGCACACAUGCAAGCAAGAGAUAAAGCACAAAUAAGCUUGCACAAGUAAAGGCACGAGAUAACCAAGAGUGGAGCCGGUGAAGACGAGGAUGUGUUACCGAAGUUCCUUCCCUUUGAGAGGAAGUACGUCUCCGUUGGAGCGGUGUGGAGGCACAAUGCUCCCCAAGAAGCCACUAGGGCCACCGUAUUCUCCUCACGCCCUCACACAAUGCGAGAUGCCGUGAUUCCACUAUUGGUGCCCUUGGAGGCGGCGACCGAACCUUUACAAACAAGGUUGGGGCAAUCUCCACAACUUAAUUAGAGGCUCCCAACGAUACCACGAAGCUUCACCACAAUGGACUAUGGCUCCGCGGUGACCUCAACCAUCUAGGGUGCUCAAACACCCAAGAGUAACAAGAUCCACAAGGGAUUAGUGGGGGGAUUCAAAUUUCUCUUGGUGGAAGUGUAGAUCGGGACCUCCUCAACCAAUCCCUAGAGAAUCAACAAGUUUGAUUGGCUAGGGAAGGAGAUCGGGCGAAAAUGGAGCGUGGAGCAACAAUGGAGCUUGGAGGUGGAAGAGGUAGUCAACUAGAGGAGGAAGACACCCCUUAUAUAGUGGAAGAACAAAUCCAACCGUUAUCCACCAACUCAGCCUGCGCAGCACGGUACUACCGCACCUGAGGCACGGUACUACCGCAGGGCCCCGCGGUACUACCGCCCACGCAGCAGAGACCAGAACAGCAAAAAAUGCACUAAAGCAGAGGGCGGUAGUACUGCUGGCGCGGUACUACCGCUCCCCCUUGCGGUACUACCGCAAGGCAGGUGCUGCCAGGGAUGGGAAGGCACGGAUAUAAAAAUUACAUCCGUGGCUACUUCCGCAGAGUUGGAGUCGAUGCAAAAACCCGACGCGGUAGCACCGUAAGCUAGCAGCGGUACUACCGCGCGAGGCGCGGAUGUAAAAAAUUACAUCCGCCCCUUACUGCCGCGUACUUGCGGAACUAAGUUAGAGACCACGGUACUACCGCUUACUAGAAGCGGUACUACCGUGGGUCCUUGCGGUACUACCGCACCAGCGGGCGGUACUACCGCGAGGUCCUGCGGUACUACCGCUCUAAGGAGCAGUACUACCGCAUGCCCUAGUUCGGCAAGCAAGAGCAAUAUUUGCAUAGACAAGGAAAACAAAGGAUGCUCCAAAGGCUAGAGGAAAGGAGGUGCAAAGGAAGAUGUGUACGUGAUGAAUCCACCCAACCUUACGCGGACCCCCUCUUAAUAGUACGACUUCCCUACGACUCAAUACCACCGAAAAGAAACGAAGAGAAACGCCGUCUUCUAUAGCCUUCGAGGGGAACCAAAUCGUCUUGUGCCUAGUCAAUAUAUCUGAAAUAUUCGAUGCACAUGAUUAGUCCGCAAAAGCAUUGUCAUCAAUCACCAAAACCAACUAAGGGAUAAAAAUGCCCUUACAAUCUCCCCCUUUUUGGUGGAUUGAUGACAACACGGGAUUUGCACGAGGUUAUAACGCAAAGAGCAAGGGCAAACCCCCAAGUCUCUAAAAUAUAGACGGGCUCCCCCUAGAUGUGUGCUAUCUCGAUGAGUGCUUUGGACUGCAUGGCACACAUACUAGGAUCAACACUCCCCCUAUAUUUUAUAGACAUGGCAAAUCUUGCAAUAAGGCUAAAGCUAAGCAAGAUAGAUAGGAGCAUAGUGUAAUAAGCAUAAUAUAGAAUAAGCUCACUACGGUACGAUAGAGUGCAUAUGUCUUACACCAUAUGAUCGAAGGUAGGUCUCAUGAGCACAAACCAAAGCAAACCAAAGCAAACGAAAUAAACGAAGUUCAACUGACCCAAACACGACACAACUCGCAAAUCCUACACUCCCUCCCCCUUUGGCAUCGAGACGCCAAAAAGGCAGAGAGGAAACCUACAGCAAUAGUGGUGGCUCAAGCGGAGUAGUCACUUGCACGCUCCCCGUCAGACUCUGCAGCUCGGACGGACUCCUUCUCAGACUCGGUCCACCGAUAACCCUGCUUGUGCAUCCAUUCUACCUCUGGGGUGAUGUUCACCUCUGACCCGCUAGAUAUGUUCUCGCCAAAGGUCCUGAAAAUCCGCUUGUCGUGGCGGCGAGUCUCCUUGGAAGCCACAUGGGUCUGGUACUGCCCCUUUGCCUGCAUACAGAACAACAUCUUCAUCUUGUUCUUCAGUCGCUUAGCCCAAGAAGGCUCAGAGGUGGGAGGGAUGUAAACCUCAGAGUUGUCCUCGUCUGCUGCCUCCUCCUCCUCCUCAUCUGCAUCCACGUCCAUGGCAGCCGCAGUAUCAGCACGAGAGGUAGUGUUGGCCCACUGAGGCUUGAUACGGAGGUUGAUGGGCUCAUGCCGGAUCCAACCAGGGGCCUCAAACUCAUCCUGAGGGUAGACCCGCUCCCAAGUGGCCGAGAUCAACUGAAACAAAUAAGGUCCAUAGAUGGGGACCUUGCGGUUGUAGACCGCAAACCGAAGCUCAUGCCACAUGAUAUGUGAGACAUCAAGUGGUAAUGUCUGAGAGUUGCGAGCAUCUUCACACAGGAGCAUCAUAUCCACCAGAUAGGCAUGCACCUUGUCCUUGUCCCCAAUGCGUGGGAAGAGAGUGUUGCGGAAGAUCUGGUGCAUGAUGUCAAGAAAGGAGUUGAGUACCCAAGAUGACUUGCCAUUGGAGAGCCUCUUCUCCACAUAGUAGGGCAUAAGCUUGUUCUUGUUGGCAGACUCGGGAUUGGCAUGAGGGCGAACACCUUGGGGUGUGGCGAGCCCCUCAUCCGGAACCCCAAGCAAAGUCAUGAAUUCCUUCCAAGUAGCAGUCAGCUGCCGACCAUUGGUCAUCCAAGUCAUGGUCCUUUCCUCAUUGGGAUGAAAAUGCACUGAGGCAAAGAACUGAGCAAGGAUCUCAGGAUCAUAGUCUUUGUGGAAUGAGAUGAUAUGCUCAAUGCCAAAUUGCUCCACUAGGUCUAAAGCCUCACCAAAGUAUUCCCAGUGCGCCUCUUUUCGCAUGUGAUGCAUGUUGAUCCACUUCACCUCCACAUAGGUGUUUUGCUUGGCCUUGAUGACAUCCAGAUAAAUGAGAUUCUGCUUCUUGGUCCAGAAUAGCUCAUUCCCUCGAAAGUUGGCAUGAGGGUUUCCAUAUGGAUUGAUCUUCCUCCGAGAGAUGAACUCAGUGUUGGGGAUUGUUGCAGAAAUUUAAAAUUUUCUACGCAUCACCAAGAUCAAUCUAUGGAGUCAUCUAGCAACGAGAGAGAGAGAGAGGAGUGCAUCUACAUACCCUUGUAGAUCGCGAGCGGAAGCGUUCAAGAGAACGGGGUUGAUGGAGUCGUACUCGUCGUGAUCCAAGUCACCGAUGAUCCUAGCGCCGAACGGACGACACCUCCGCGUUCAACACACGUACGGAGCGGAGACGUCUCCUCCUUCUUUGAUCCAGCAAGGGGGAAGGAGAAGUUGAUGGAGAUCUUGUUCGAAAUAUGCCCUAGAGGCAAUAAUAAAUUGGUUAUUAUUAUAUUUCCUUGUUCAUGAUAAUCGUUUAUUAUCCAUGCUAAAAUUGUAUUGAUAGGAAACUCAGAUACAUGUGUGGAUACAUAGACAACACCAUGUCCCUAGUAAGCCUCUAGUUGACUAGCUCGUUGAUCAAUAGAUGGUUACCGUUUCCUGACCAUGGACAUUGGAUGUCAUUGAUAACGGGAUCACAUCAUUAGGAGAAUGAUGUGAUGGACAAGACCCAAUCCUAAGCCUAGCACAAGAUCGUGUAGUUCGUUUGCUAAGAACUUUUCUAAUGUCAAGUAUCAUUUCCUUAGACCAUGAGAUUGUGCAACUCCCGGAUACCGUAGGAAUGCUUUGGGUGUACCAAACGUCACAACGUAACUGGGUGGCUAUAAAGGUGCACUACAGGUAUCUCCGAAAGUGUCUGUUGGGUUGGCACGAAUCGAGACUGGGAUUUGUCACUCCGUGUAAACGGAGAGGUAUCUCUGGACCCACUCGGUAGGACAUCAUCAUAAUAUGCACAAUGAGACCAAGGAGUUGAUCAUGAGAUGAUGUGUUACGGAACGAGUAAAGAGACUUGCCGGUAACGAGAUUGAACAAGGUAUCGGGAUACCGACGAUCGAAUCUCGGGCAAGUAACAUACCGAUUGACAAAGGGAAUUGUAUAUGGGAUUGAUUGAAUCCCCGACAUCGUGGUUCAUCCGAUGAGAUCAUCGUGGAACAUGUGGGAGCCAACAUGGGUAUCCAGAUCACGCUGUUGGUUAUUGUCCGGAGAACGUCUCGGUCAUGUCUGCAUGGUUCCCGAACCCGUAGGGUCUACACACUUAAGGUUCGAUGACGCUAGGGUUAUAGGGAAUAUAUAUACAUGGUUACCGAAUGUUGUUCGGAGUCCCGGAUGAUAUCCCGGACGUCACGAGGAGUUCCGGAGGUAAAGAUUUAUAUAUGGGAAGUCCCGUUUUGGCCACCCGAAGAGUUUCGGGCGUCACCGGUAAUGUACUGGGACCACCGGAGGGUUCCGGGGGUCCACCGGGAGGGGCCACCAGCCCCGGAGGGCCCUAUGGGCUGUAUGUGGAGAGGGACCAGCCCCUUAGUGGGCUGGGCGCCUUCCCUCCCAGGGCCCAUGCGCCUGGGGGUUUGGGGGAACCCUAAGGGGAGGCGCCCCCCUUGCCUUGGGGGGCAAGGCAACCCCCCUGGCCGCCGCCCCCUCCUCAGAUUGGAUCUGAGGGGGCCGGCCCCCCUCUCCCUUGCCCCUAUAUAUAUGUGGGGGUGGGAGGGCAGCAGCAACCUAAGUUCUGUCGCAGCCCUCCCCUCUUCCAUGUCCUCCUCCUCUCCCGCGGUGCUUGGCGAAGCCCUGCGGGAUUGCCACGCUCCUCCAUCACCACCACGCCGUCGUGCUGCUGCUGGACGGAGUCUUCCCCAACCUCUCCCUCUCUCCUUGCUGGAUCAAGGCGUGGGAUACGUCACCGGGCUGCACGUGUGUUGAACGCGGAGGCGCCGUGAUUCGGCGCUUAGAUCGGAAUCAACCGCGAUCUGAAUCGCUAUGAGUACGACUCCUUCAUCCGCGUUCUUGCAACGCUUCCGCAUCGCGAUCUACAAGGGUAUGUAGAUGCACUCCCCUUCCCCUUGUUGCUAGAUUACUCCAUAGAUUGAUCUUGGUGAUGCGUAGAAAAUUUUGAAUUUCUGCUACGUUCCCCAACAGUGGUAUCAGAGCCAGGUUUAUGCGUAGUUUCUAUGCACAAGUAGAACACAAAGUAGUUGUGGGCGUCGAUUUUGUCAAUUUACUUGCCGUUACUAGUCUUAUCUUGAUUCGGCGGCAUCGUGGGAUGAAGCGGCCCGGACCGACCUAACACGUACUCUUAUGUGAGACAGGUUCCACCGACUGACAUGCACUAGUUGCAUAAGGUGGCUAGCGGGUGUCUGUCUCUCCCACUUUAGUCGGAUCGGAUUUGAUGAAAAGGGUCCUUAUGAAGGGUAAAUAGAAAUUGGCAUAUCACGUUGUGGCUUUUGCGUAGGUAAGAAACGUUCUUGCUAGAAUCCCAUAGCACCCCACGUAAAAAUGCAACAACAACUAGAGGACGUCUAACUUGUUUUUGCAGGGUAUGCUAUGUGAUGUGAUAUGGCCAAAAGGAUGUGAUGAAUGAUAUAUGUGAUGUAUGAGAUUGAUCAUGUUCUUGUAAUAGGAAUCACGACUUGCAUGUCGAUGAGUAUGACAACCGGCAGGAGCCAUAGGAGUUGUCUUAAUUUAUUGUAUGACCUGCGUGUCAAUGAAAACGCCAUGUAAUUACUUUACUUUAUUGCUAACCGUUAGCCAUAGUAGUAGAAGUAAUAGUUGGCGAGACAAUUUCAUGAAGACACAAUGAUGGAGAUCAUGAUAAUGGAGAUCAUGGUGUCAUGCCGGUGACGAAGGUGAUCAUGCCGCGCCUCGAAGAUGGAGAUCAAAGGCGCAUGAUGAUAUUGGCCAUAUCACGUCACUUUAUGAUUUGCAUGUGAUGUUUAUCAUGUUUACAUCUUAUUUGCUUAGAACGACGGUAGCAUAAAUAAGAUGAUCCCUCACUAAAAUUUCAAGAGACGUGUUCCCCCUAACUGUGCACCGUUGUGAAGGUUCGUUGUUUCGAAGCACCACGUGAUGAUCGGGUGUGAUAGAUUCUAACGUUCGAAUACAACGGGUGUUGACGAGCCUAGCAUGUACAGACAUGGCCUCGGAACACAUGCGAAACACUUAGGUUGACUUGACGAGCCUAGCAUGUACAGACAUGGCCUCGGAACACAAGAGACCGAAAGGUCGAACAUGAGUCGUAUAGUAGAUACGAUCAACAUGGAGAUGUUCACCGAUGAUGACUAGUCCGUCUCACGUGAUGAUCGGACACGGCCUAGUUUGACUCGGAUCAUGUAUCACUUAGAUGACUAGAGGGAUGUCUAUCUGAGUGGGAGUUCAUUAAAUAAUCAGAUGAACUUAAUUAUCAUGAACAUAGUCAAAAGGUCUUUGCAAAUUAUGUCAUAGCUUACGCUUUAGUUCUACUGUUUAAGAUAUGUUCCUAGAGAAAAUAUAGUUGAAAGUUGAUAGUAGCAAUUAUGCGGACUGGGUCCGUGAACUGAGGAUUGUCCUCAUUACUGCACAGAAGGCUUACGUCCUUAAUACACCGCUCGGUGUGCUGAACCUCGAGCGUUGUCUGUAGAUGUUACGAAACAUCUGACAUACACGUUUUGAUGACUACGUGAUAGUUCAGUGCGUAAUGCUAACGGUUUAGAAUUGUGGCACCAAAGACGUUUUUGAAACGUCGCAGAACAUAUGAGAUGUUCCGAAGACUGAAAUUUGGAUUUCAGACUAGUGCCCACGUCAAGAGGUAUGAGACCUCUGACAAGUUUCUUAAGCCUGCAAACUAAGGGAGAAAAGCUCAAUCGUUGAGCAUGUGCUCAGAUUGUCUGAGUACUACAAUCACUUGAAUCGAGUGGGAGUUAAUCUUCCAGAUGAGAUAGUGAUGGUUCUCCAUAGUCACUGCCACCAAGCUAUUAGAGCUUCGUGAUGAACUAUAACAUAUCAGGGAUAGACAUGAUGAUCCUUGAGCAACUCGCGAUGUUUGACACCGCGAAAGUAGAAAUCAAAUAGGAGCAUCAAUUGUUGAUGGUUAGUAAAACCACUAGUUUCAAGAAGGGCAAGGGCAAAAGGGAUACUUCAUGAAACAGCAAAUCAUUUGCUGCUCUAGUGAAGAAUCCCAAGGUUGAACCCAAACCCGAGACUAAGUGCUUCUGUAAUGAGGGGAACGGUCACUGAAGCAAAACUACCCUAGAUACGUGGUAGAUGAGAAGGCAGGCAAGGUCGACAGAAGUAUAUUGGAUAUACAUUAUAUGAAUGUGUACUUCACUAGUACUCCUAGCAGCACCAGGGUAUUAGAUACCGGUUCGGUUGCUAAGUGUUAGUAACUCGAAAUAAAAGCUGCGGAAUAAACGGAGACUAGCUAAAGGUGAGAUGACGAUAUGUGUUGGAAGUGUUUCCAAGGUUGAUGUGAUCAAGCAUCGCAUGCUCCCUCUACCAUCGAGAUUGGUGUUAAACCUAAAUAAUUGUUAUUUGGUGUUUGCGUUGAGCAUAAACAUGAUUGGAUUAUGUUUAUCGCAAUACGGCUGUUCAUUUAAGGAGAAUAAUGGUUACUCUGUUUAUUUGAAUAAUACCUUCAAUGGUCUUGCACCUAAAAUGAAUCUCGAUUGCCGUGAUACACAUGUUCGUGCCAAAAGAUAUAAAAUAGUAAUGAUAGUACCACAUACUUGUGGCACUGCCAUUUGAGUCAUAUUGGUAUAGAACGCAUGAAGAAGCUCCAUGUAGAUGGAUCUUUGGACUCACUCGUUUUUGAAAAGAUUGAGACAUGCAAACCAUGUCUAUUGGUAUAUAUGCAUGAAGAAACUCCAUGCAGAUGGAUCGUUUGGACUCACUUGAUUUUGAAUCACUUGAGACAUGCAAAUCAUACCACAUGGGCAAGAUGGCUGAAAGGCCUCGUUUUCAGUAAGAUGGAACAAGAAAGCAACUUGUUGGAAGUAAUACAUUUUGAUGUGUGCAGUCCAAUGAGUGCUGAGGCACGCAGUGGAUAUCGUUAUGUUCUUACUUCACAGACGAUUUGAGUAGAUGCUGAGUGUAUUUACUUAAUGAAACACAAGUCUGAAUUAUUGAAAGGUUCAAGUAAUUUCAGAGUGAAGUUGAAGAUCGUCGUGACAAGUGGAUAAAAUGUCUAUGAUAUGAUCAUAGAGAUAUCUGAGUUACGAGUUUGGCACACAAUUAAGACAUUGUGGAAAGUGUUUCACAAUUAAUACCGCUUGGAACACCACAGUGUGAUGGUGUGUCCGAACAUCAUAACUGCACCCUAUUGGAUAUGGUGCAUACCAUGAUGUCUCUUAUCGAAUUACAACUAUCGUUUAUGGGUUAGGCAUUAGAGACAACCGCAUUCACUUUAAAUAGGGCACCACGCAAUUCCGUUGAGAUGACACCGUAUGAACUACGGUUUAGAGAAACCUAAGCUGUCGUUUCUUAAAAGUUUGGGGCUGCGACGCUUAUGUGAAAAGGUUUCAGGCUGAUAAGCUCGAACCCAAAGCGGAUAAAUGCAUCUUCAUAGAAUACCCAAAACAGUUGGGUAUACCUCCUAUUUCAGAUCUGGAAGCAAAAGUAAUUGCUUCUAGAAACGAGUCCUUACUCGAGGAAAAGUUUCUCUUGAAAGAAUUGAGUGGGAGGAUGGUGGAGACUUGAUAAGGUUAUUGAACCGUCACUUCAACUAGUGUGUAGCAGGGCACAGGAAGUUGUUCUUGUGGCACCUACACCAAUUGAAGUGGAAGCUUAUGAUAGUGAUCAUGAAACUUCGGAUCAAGUCACUACCAAACCUCGUAGGUCGACAAGGAUAUGUACUACUCCUGAGUGGUACGGUAAUCCUGUCUUAGAUAUCAUGUUGUUAGACAAUACUGAACCUAUGAGCUAUGGAGAAGCGAUGGUGGGCCCAUAUUCCGACAAAUGGUUAGAAGCCAUGAAAUCCGAGAUAGGAUCCAUGUAUCAGAACAAAGCAUGGACUUUGGUGAACUUGCCCGAUGAUCGGCAAGCCAUUGAGAUAAAUGGAUCUUUAAGAAGAAGACGGACAUGGACGGUAAUGUUACCGUCUAUGAAGCUCGACUUGUGGCAAAGAGUAUUUUCACAAGUUCAAGGAGUUGACUACGAUGAGAUUUUCUCAUCCGUAGCGAUGCUUAAGUCCGUCAGAAUCAUGUUAGCAUUAGCUGCAUUUAUGAAAUCUGGCAGAUGGAUGUCAAAAACAAGUUUCCUUACCAGUUUUCGUAAGGAAAGGUUGUAUGUGAUACAAUCAGAAAGGUUUUGUCGAUCGUAAGGAUGCUAAAAGGUAUGCUAGCUCCAGCGAUCCUUCCAUGGACUAGAGCAAGCAUCUCGGAGUCAGAAUAUAUGCUUUGAUGGAGUGAUCAAAGUUUUUGGGUUUAUACAAAGUUUGUUAGAAACUUGUAUUUACAAUAAAGUGAGUGGGAGCGCUACAACAUUUCUGAUAAGUAUAUGUGAAUGACAUAUUGUUGAUCCGAAAUGAUGUAAAAUUUCUGGAAAGCAUAAAGGGUUGUUUGAAAGGAGUUUUUCAAAGGAAGACCUGGAUAAAGCUGCUUACAUAUUGGGCAUCAAGAUCUAUAGAGAUAGAUCAAGACGCCUGAUGAUACUUUCAAAGAACGCACACCUUGACAUGAUUUUGAAAGAGUUCAAAAUAGAUCAGCAAAGAAGGAGUUCUUGGCUAUGUUACAAGGUGUGAGUAUUGAGUAAGACUCAAGACCUGACCACAACAGAAGAGAGAGAAAGGACGAAGGUCGUCCCCUAUGCUUUAGACGUAGGCUCUACAGUAUGCUAUGCUGUGUACCGCACAUGAAGAGUGCCUUGCCAUGAGUUGGUCAAGGGGUACAAUAGUGAUCCGGGAAUGGAUCACAUGACAGCGGUCGAACUUAUGCUUAGUAUCUAGUGGACUAAGGAAUUUUCUCGAUUAUGGAGGUGAAAAGGAGUUCGUCGUAAAGGGUUACGUCGAUGCGAACUUUGACACUAAUCCGGAUGACUCUGAGUAGUAAACCGGAUUUGUAUAGUAGAGCAGUUAUUUGAAAUGGCUCCAAGUAGCGCGUGGUAGCAUCCACAAGAUGACAUAGAUAUUCGUAAAGCACACACGGAUCUGAAAGGUUCAGACCCGUUGACUAAUAACCUCUCUCACAAGCAUAACAUGAUCAAACCAGAACUCAUUGAGUGUUAAUCACAUAGUGAUGUGAACUAGAUUGUUGACUCUAGUAAACUCUUUGGAUGUUGGUCACAUGGUGAUGUGACCUGUGAGUGUUAAUCACAUGGUGAUGUGAAAUAGAUUAUUGACUCUAGUGCAAGUGGGAGACUGUUGGAAAUAUGCCCUAGAGGCAAUAAUAAAUUGGUUAUUAUUAUAUUUCCUUGUUCAUGAUAAUCGUUUAUUAUCCAUGCUAAAAUUGUAUUGAUAGGAAACUCAGAUACAUGUGUGGAUACAUAGACAACACCAUGUCCCUAGUAAGCCUCUAGUUGACUAGCUCGUUGAUCAAUAGAUGGUUACGGUUUCCUGACCAUGGACAUUGGAUGUCGUUGAUAACGGGAUCACAUCAUUAGGAGAAUGAUGUGAUGGACAAGACCCAAUCCUAAGCCUAGCACAAGAUCGUGUAGUUCGUUUGCUAAGAGCUUUUCUAAUGUCAAGUAUCAUUUCCUUAGACCAUGAGAUUGUGCAACUCCCGGAUACCGUAGGAAUGCUUUGGGUGUACCAAACAUCACAACGUAACUGGGUGGCUAUAAAGGUGCACUACAGGUAUCUCCGAAAGUGUCUGUUGGGUUGGCACGAAUCGAGACUGGGAUUUGUCACUCCGUGUAAACGGAGAGGUAUCUCUGGGCCCACUCGGUAGGACAUCAUCAUAAUGUGCACAAUGUGACCAAGGAGUUGAUCACGGGAUGAUGUGUUACGGAACGAGUAAAGAGACUUGCCGGUAACGAGAUUGAACAAGGUAUCGGGAUACCGACGAUCGAAUCUCGGGCAAGUAACAUACCGAUUGACAAAGGGAAUUGUAUACGGGAUUGAUUGAAUCCCCGACAUCGUGGUUCAUCCGAUGAGAUCAUCGUGGAACAUGUGGGAGCCAACAUGGGUAUCCAGAUCCCGCUGUUGGUUAUUGGCCGGAGAACGUCUCGGUCAUGUCUGCAUGGUUCCCGAACCCGUAGGGUCUACACACUUAAGGUUCGAUGACGCUAGGGUUAUAGGGAAUAGAUAUACAUGGUUACCGAAUGUUGUUCGGAGUCCCGGACGUCACGAGGAGUUCCGGAAUGGUCCGGAGGUAAAGAUUUAUAUAUGGGAAGUCCCGUUUUGGCCACCGGAAGAGUUUCGGGCGUCACCGGUAAUGUACCGGGACCACCGGAGGGUUCCGGGGGUCCACCGGGAGGGGCCACCAGCCCCGGAGGGCCCUAUGGGCUGUAUGUGGAGAGGGACCAGCCCCUUAGUGGGCUGGGCGCCUUCCCUCCCAGGGCCCAUGCGCCUGGGGGUUUGGGGGAACCCUAAGGGGAGGCCCCCCCUUGCCUUGGGGGGCAAGGCAACCCCCCUGGCCGCCGCCCCCUCCUCAGAUUGGAUCUGAGGGGGGCGGCCCCCCUCUCCCUUGCCCCUAUAUAUAUGUGGGGGUGGGAGGGCAGCAGCAACCUAAGUUCUGGCGCAGCCCUCCCCCUCUUCCAUGUCCUCCUCUUCUCCCGCGGUGCUUGGCGAAGCCCUGCGGGAUUGCCACGCUCCUCCAUCACCACCACGCCGUCGUGCUGCUGCUGGACGGAGUCUUCCCCAACCUCUCCCUCUCUCCUUGCUGGAUCAAGGCGUGGGAGACGUCACCGGGCUGCACGUGUGUUGAACGCGGAGGCGCCGUGAUUCGGCGCUUAGAUCGGAAUCAACCGCGAUCUGAAUCGCUACGAGUACGACUCCUUCAUCCGCGUUCUUGCAACGCUUCCGCAUCGCGAUCUACAAGGGUAUGUAGAUGCACUCCCCUUCCCCUCGUUGCUAGAUUACUCCAUAGAUUGAUCUUGGUGAUGCGUAGAAAAUUUUGAAUUUCUGCUACGUUCCCCAACAGAUCCAGCAGCACGACGGCAUGGUGGUGGAUGCAGCGGGAUUCCAGCAGGGCUUCGCCAAGCGCUACUGGAGGAGGAAUAGGUGUCACGGGAGGGAGAGGGAGGCGCCAGGGCUUAGGGUGCGGCUGCUCUCCCUCCCCUCCACUAUAUAUAGGGGCUAGGGGGGGCGCAUGCCCCCUUUGGAGAUCCCAUCUAGAGGGGGGGGGGCGGCCCCUCGGGGGGCAACGACCCCCUUAGGGUUUCCAACCAGGGGGGCGCAACGCCCCCUAGGGUUUCCAACCCUAGGCGCCUUGGGCCCUUGGGUGGGGCGCACCAGCCCACCAGGGGCUGGUUCCCACGCCACUUCAGCCCAUGGGGCCCUCCGGGAUAGGUGGCCCCGCCCCGUGGACCCCCGGGACCCUUCCGGUGGUCCCGGUACAAUACCGGUGACCCCCGAAACUCUCCUGGUGGCCGAAACUGGACUUCCUAUAUAUAAAUCUUUACCUCCGGACCAUUCCGGAACUCCUCGUGACGUCCGGGAUCUCAUCCGGGACUCCGAACAACUUUUGGUUAACCGCAUACUAAUAUCUCUACAACUCUAGCGUCACCGAACCUUAAGUGUGUAGACCCUACGGGUUCGGGAGACACGUAGACAUGACCGAGACAACUCUCCGGUCAAUAACCAACAGCGGGAUCUGGAUACCCAUGUUGGCUCCCACAUGCUCCACGAUAAUCUCAUCGGAUGAACCACGAUGUCGAGGAUUCAAUCAAUCCCGUAUACAAUUCCCUUUGUCAAUCGGUACGUUACUUGCCCGAGAUUCGAUCGUCGGUAUCCCAAUACCUCGUUCAAUCUUGUUACCGGCAAGUCACUUUACUCGUUCCGUAAUGCAUGAUCCCGUGACUAACUACUUAGUCACAUUGAGCUCAUUAUGAUGAUGCAAUACCGAGUGGGCCCAGAGAUACCUCUCCAUCAUACGGAGUGACAAAUCCCAGUCUCGAUCCGUGCCAACCCAACAGACACGUUCGGAGAUACCUGUAGUGCACCUUUAUAGCCACCCAGUUACGUUGUGACGUUUGGUACACCCAAAGCAUUCCUACGGUAUCCGGGAGUUGCACGAUCUCAUGGUCUAAGGAGAUGAUACUUGACAUUAGAAAAGCUUUAGCAAACGAACUACACGAUCUAGUGCCAUGCUUAGGAUUGGGUCUUGUCCAUCACAUCAUUCUCCUAAUGAUGUUAUCCCGUUAUCAAUGACAUCCAAUGUCCAUGGUCAGGAAACCGUAACCAUCUAUUGAUCAACGAGCUAGUCAACUAGAGGCUCACUAGGGACAUGUUAUGGUCUAUGUGUUCACACAUGUAUUACGAUUUCCGGAUAACACAAUUAUAGCAUGAACAAUAGAUAAUUAUCAUGAACAAGGAAAUAUAAUAAUAACCAUUUUAUUAUUGCCUCUAGGGCAUAUUUCCAACAGUCUCCCACUUGCACUAGAGUCAAUAAUCUAGUUACAUUGUGAUGAAUCGUACACCCAUAGAGUUCUGGUGUUGAUCAUGUUUCGCCCGUGGAAGAGGUUUAGUCAACGGAUCUGCGACAUUCAAAUCCGUAUGCACUUUACAAAUAUCUAUGUCUCCAUUUUGAACAUUUUCACAAAUGGAGUUGAAGCGAUGCUUGAUGUGCCUGGUCUUCUUGUGAAACCUGGGCUCUUUGGCAAGGGCAAUAGCUCCAGUGUUGUCACAGAAGAGAGUCAUCGGCCCCGAUGCAUUGGGAAUAACUCCUAGGUCGGCAAUGAACUCCUUCAUCCAGAUUGCUUCAUGUGCUGCCUCCGAGGCUGCCAUGUACUCCGCUUCACAUGUAGAUCCCGCCACGACGCUUUGCUUGCAACUGCACCAGCUGACUGCCCCACCAUUCAAAAUAUACACGUAUCCGGUUUGUGACUUAGAGUCAUCCAGAUCUGUGUCGAAGCUAGCAUCGACAUAACCCUUUACGACGAGCUCUUCGUCACCUCCAUAAACGAGAAACAUAUCCUUAGUCCUUUUCAGGUACUUCAGGAUGUUCUUGACCGCUGUCCAGUGUUCCAUGCCGGGAUUACUUUGGUACCUUCCUACCAAACUUACGGCAAGGUUUACAUCAGGUCUGGUACACAGCAUGGCAUACAUAAUAGACCCUAUGGCCGAGGCAUAGGGGAUGACACUCAUCUUUUCUCUAUCUUCUGUCAUGGUCGGGCAUUGAGCCGUGCUCAAUUUCACGCCUUGCAAUACAGGCAAGAACCCCUUCUUGGACUGAUCCAUAUUGAACUUCUUCAAUAUCUUGUCAAGGUAUGUGCUUUGUGAAAGACCUAUGAGGCGUCUCGAUCUAUUUCUAUAGAUCUUGAUGCCUAAUAUGUAAGCAGCUUCUCCAAGGUCCUUCAUUGAAAAACACUUAUUCAAGUAGGCAUUUAUGUUUUCCAAGAAUUCUAUAUCAUUUCCCAUCAAUAGUAUGUCAUCCACAUAUAAUAUGAGAAAUGCUACAGAGCUCCCACUCACUUUCUUGUAAACACAGGCUUCUCCAUAAGUCUGUGUAAACCCAAACGCUUUGAUCAUCUCAUCAAAGCGAAUGUUCCAACUCCGAGAUGCCUGCACCAGCCCAUAGAUUGAGCGUUGGAGCUUGCAUACCUUGUCAGCAUUCUUAGGAUCGACAAAACCUUCCGGCUGCAUCAUAUAGAAUUCUUCCUUAAGGAAGCCGUUAAGGAAUGCUGUUUUGACGUCCCUUUGCCAUAUUUCAUAAUCGUACAAUGCGGCAAUUGCUAACAUGAUUCAGACGGACUUCAGCUUCGCUACGGGUGAGAAGGUCUCAUCGUAGUCAACUCCUUGAACUUGUCGAUAACCCUUAGCGACAAGUCUAGCUUUAUAGAUGGUAACAUUUCCAUCCGCGUCCGUCUUCUUCUUAAAGAUCCAUUUAUUUUCUAUCGCUCGCCGAUCAUCGGGCAAGUCUGUUAAAGUCCAUACUUUGUUUUCAUACAUGGAUCCUAUCUCGGAUUGCAUGGCUUCAAGCCAUUUGUUGGAAUCUGGGCUCGCCAUUGCUUCUUCAUAGUCUGAAGGUUCACCGUUGUCCAACAACAUGAUUUCCAGGACAGGGUUGCCGUACCACUCUGGUGCGGAACGUGUCCUUGUGGACCUACGAAGUUCAGUGGUAACUUGAUCAUGAUCGUCAUCAUUAACUUCCUCUCUAGUCGGUGCAGGCACCACAGAAACAUUUUCUUGUGCUGCGCUACUUUCUGGUUCGAGAGGGGUCAUCUCAUCAAGUUCCACUUUCCUCCCACUUACUUCUUUCGAGAGAAACUCUUUCUCCAGAAAGGACCCAUUCUUGGCAACGAAGAUCUUGCCUUCGGAUCUGAGGUAGAAGGUAUACCCAAUGGUUUCCUUAGGGUAUCCUAUUGUAACGCCCACGAUGCGGCUAUAUCUCCCACGUGUCGAGGCACGACUCAGAGGCAUAACCGCAUUGUAGGUAUUGUCGCAAGAAGGGUCAUCUUCACACAAUCCCAUGUAAUGAACAAGAAUGGGAUAACGAGAGUUGGCUUACAAUCGCCACUUCACACAACACAUAAAUAAAUUCAUACAUCAUCCAAAAUCCACACAUAGACCGACUACGGUCAAAUCCAAAAGAAAAUAAGAUAACCCCAAAUGCUAGAUCCCCGAUCGUCCCAACUGGGCUCCACUACUGAUCAUCAGGAAACGAAACAUAGUAACGACCACGUUCCUCGUCGAACUCCCACUUGAGCUCGGUUGCGUCAUCUGCACUGGUAUCAUCAGCACCUGCAACUGUUUUGGUAGAAUCUGUGAGUCACCUGCAACUGUUUUGGUAGAAUCUGUGAGUCAUGACUCACAGAUUCUACCAAAACAGUUGCAGGUGCCGAUGAUACCAGUGCAGAUGACGCAACCAAUCACAGAUUCUACCAAAACAGUUGCAGGUGCCGAUGAUAUCAGUGCAGAUGACACAACCGAGCUCAANNNNNNNNNNNNNNNNNNNNNNNNNNNNNNNNNNNNNNNNNNNNNNNNNNNNNNNNNNNNNNNNNNNNNNNNNNNNNNNNNNNNNNNNNNNNNNNNNNNNNNNNNNNNNNNNNNNNNNNNNNNNNNNNNNNNNNNNNNNNNNNNNNNNNNNNNNNNNNNNNNNNNNNNNNNNNNNNNNNNNNNNNNNNNNNNNNNNNNNNNNNNNNNNNNNNNNNNNNNNNNNNNNNNNNNNNNNNNNNNNNNNNNNNNNNNNNNNNNNNNNNNNNNNNNNNNNNNNNNNNNNNNNNNNNNNNNNNNNNNNNNNNNNNNNNNNNNNNNNNNNNNNNNNNNNNNNNNNNNNNNNNNNNNNNNNNNNNNNNNNNNNNNNNNNNNNNNNNNNNNNNNNNNNNNNNNNNNNNNNNNNNNNNNNNNNNNNNNNNNNNNNNNNNNNNNNNNNNNNNNNNNNNNNNNNNNNNNNNNNNNNNNNNNNNNNAGUUGGGACGAUCGGGGAUCUAGCAUUUGGGGUUAUCUUAUUUUCUUUUGGAUUUGACCGUGACUCACAGAUUCUACCAAAACAGUUGCAGGUGCCGAUGAUACCAGUGUAGAUGACGCAACCGAGCUCAAGUGGGAGUUCGACGAGGAACGUGGUCGUUACUAUGUUUCGUUUCCUGAUGAUCAGUAGUGGAGCCCAGUUGGGACGAUCGGGGAUCUAGCAUUUGGGGUUAUCUUAUUUUCUUUUGGAUUUGACCGUAGUCAGUCUAUGUGUGGAUUUUGGAUGAUGUAUGAAUUUAUUUAUGUAUUGUGUGAAGUGGCGAUUGUAAGCCAACUCUCGUUAUCCCAUUCUUGUUCAUUACAUGGGAUAGUGUGAAGAUGACCCUUCUUGCGACAAUACCUACAAUGCGGUUAUGCCUCUAAGUCGUGCCUCGACACGUGGGAGAUAUAGCCGCAUCAUGGGCGUUACACCUAUGAAGACGCAUUUUUCCGACUUGGGUUCGAGCUUUUCAGGUUGAAGUUUCUUGACAUAAGCAUCGCAUCCCCAAACUUUAAGAAACGACAGCUUAGGUUUCUUUCCAAACCAUAAUUCAUACGGUGUCGUCUCAACGGAUUUCGACGGAGCCCUAUUUAAAGUGAAUGCGGCAGUCUCUAAAGCAUAACCCCAGAAUGAUAGCGGUAGAUCGGUAAGAGACAUCAUAGAUCGCACCAUAUCCAAUAGAGUGCGAUUACGACGUCCGGACACACCAUUACGCUGAGGUGUUCCAGGCGGCGUGAGUUGUGAAACAAUUCCACAUUUCCUUAAGUGUGUGCCAAAUUCGUGACUCAAAUAUUCCCCUCCACGAUCUGAUCGUAAGAACUUUAUUUUCCUGUCACGUUGAUUCUCAACCUCACUCUAAAAUUCCUUGAACUUUUCAAAGGUCUCAGACUUUUGUUUCAUUAAGUAGACAUACCCAUAUCUACUCAAGUCAUCAGUGAGGGUGAGAACAUAACGAUAGCCACCGCGAGCCUCAACGCUCAUUGGACCGCACACAUCAGUAUGUAUGAUUUCCAAUAAGUUGGUUGCUCGCUCCAUUGUUCCGGAGAACGGAGUCUUGGUCAUUUUUUCCCAUGAGGCAUGGUUCGCACGUGUCAAAUGAUUCAUAAUCAAGAGACUCCAAAAGUCCAACUGCAUGGAGUUUCUUCAUGCGUUUGACACCAAUGUGACCAAGGCGGCAGUGCCACAAGUAUGUGGGACUAUCAUUAUCAACCUUACAUUUCUUGGCAUUCACACUAUGAAUAUGUGUAACAUUACGUUCGAGAUUCAUUAAGAAUAAACCAUUGACCAGCGGGGCAUGACCAUAAAACAUAUCUCUCAUAUAAAUAGAACAACCAUUAUUCUCUGAUUUAAAUGAGUAGCCAUCUCGCAUCAAACGAGAUCCAGAUACAAUGUUCAUGCUCAAAGCUGGCACUAAAUAACAAUUAUUGAGGUUUAAAACUAAUCCCGUAGGUAAAUGUAGAGGUAGCGUGCCGACGGCGAUCACAUCGACCUUGGAACCAUUCCCGACCUGCAUCGUCACCUCGUCCUUCGCCAGUCUCCGCUUAUUCCGCAGCUCCUGCUUUGAGUUACAAAUAUGAGCAACCGCACCGGUAUCAAAUACCCAGGAGCUACUACGAGCGCUGGUUAGGUACACAUCAAUAACAUGUAUAUCACAUAUACCUUUGGUAUUGCCGGCCUUCUUAUCCGCUAAGUACUUGGGGCAGUUCCACUUCCAGUGACCGUUUCCCUUGCAAUAAAAGCACUCAGUCUUAGGCUUGGGUCCAUUCUUUGUCUUCUUCCCGGCAGCUUGCUUACCGGGCGCGGCAACUCCCUUGCCGUCUUUCUUGAAGUUCUUCUUACCCUUGUCUUUCUUGAACUUAGUGGUUUUAUUCACCAUCAACACUUGAUGUUCCUUUUUGAUCUCCACCUCCGCUGAUUUCAGCAUUGAAUAUACCUCAGGAAUGGUCUUUUCCAUCCCCUGCAUAUUGAAAUUCAUCACAAAGCUCUUGUAGCUAGGUGGAAGCGACUGAAGGAUUCUGUCAAUGACCGCGUCAUCCGGGAGAUUAACUCCCAGCUAAGACAAGCGGUUGUGCAACCCAGACAUUUUGAGUAUGUGUUCGCUGACGGAACUAUUCUCCUCCAUCUUACAACUAUAGAACUUGUCGGAUACUUCAUAUCUCUCGACCCGGGCAUGAGCUUGGAAAACCAUUUUCAGCUCUUGGAACAUCUCAUAUGCUCCGUGCUGCUCGAAACGCUUUUGGAGCCCCGGUUCUAAGCUGUAAAGCAUGCCGCACUGAACCAGGGAGUAAUCAUCAACACGUGUUUGCCAGGCGUUCAUAACGUCUUGGUUUGCUGGGACGGGUGCUUCACCUAGCAGUGCUUCAAGGACAUAUGCUUUCUUGGCAGCUAUGAGGAUGAUCCUCAAGUUCCGGACCCAGUCCGUAUAGUUGCUACCAUCGUCUUUCAGCUUGGUUUUCUCUAGGAACACGUUGAAGUUGAGGUUGACAUUAACGUGGGCCAUUUGAUCUACAAUACAUAUUGUAAAGAUUUUAGACUAAGUUCAUGAUAAUUAAGUUCAUCUAAUCAAAUUAUUAAUGAACUCCCACUCAGACAGACAUCCCUCUAGUCAUCUAAGUGAUACAUGAUCCGAGUCAACUAGGCCGUGUCCGAUCAUCACGUGAGACGGACUAGUCAUCAUCGGUGAACAUCUUCAUGUUGAUCGUAUCAGCUAUACGACUCAUGUUCGACCUUUCGGUCUCUUGUGUUCCGAGGCCAUGUCUGUACAUGCUAGGCUUGUCAAGUCAACCUAAGUGUAUUGCGUGUGUAAAUCUGGCUUACACCCGUUGUAUGCGAACGUUAGAACCUAUCACACCCGAUCAUCACGUGGUGCUUCGGAACAACGAACCUUCGCAACGGUGCACAGUUAGGGGGAACACUUCCUUGAAAUUUUAGCGAGGGAUCAUCUUAUUUAUGCUACCGUCGUUCUAAGCAAAUAAGAUGUAAAACAUGAUAAACAUCACAUGCAAUCAAAUAGUGACAUGAUAUGGCCAAUAUCAUUUUGCUCCUUUUGAUCUCCAUCUUCGGGGCGCCAUGUUCAUCAUUGUCACCGGCAUGACACCAUGAUCUCCAUCAUCGUGUCUUCGUGAAGUUGUCUCGCCAACUAUUACUUCUACUACUAUGGCUAACGGUUAGCAAUAAAGUAAAGUAAUUACAUGACGUCUUAGUUGACACGCAGGUCAUAAAUAAAUUAAGACAACUCCUAUGGCUCUUGCCGGUUGUCAUACUCAUCGACAUGCAAGUUGUGAUUCCUAUUACAAGAACAUGAUCAAUCUCAUACAUCACAUAUAUCAUUCAUCACAUUCUUCUGGCCAUAUCACAUCACAUGACACAUGCCGCAAAAACAAGUUAGACGUCCUCUAAUUGUUGUUGCAAAUUUUUACGUGGCUGCUAUAGGUUUCUAGCAAGAACGUUUCUUACCUACGCCAAAGCCACAACGUGAUAUGCCAAUUUCUAUUUACCCUUCAUAAGGACCCUUUUCAUCGAAUCCGAUCCGACUAAAGUGGGAGAGACAGACACCCGCUAGCCACCUUAUGCAACUAGUGCAUGUCAGUCGGUGGAACCUGUCUCACGUAAGCGUACGUGUAAGGUCGGUCCGGGCCGCUUCAUCCCACGAUGCCGCCGAAUCAAGAUAAGACUAGUAACGGCAAGUAAAUUGACAAAAUCGACGCCCACAACAACUUGUGUUCUACUCGUGCAUAGAAACUACGCAUAGACCUAGCUCAUGAUGCCACUGUUGGGGAUCGUUGUAGAAAUUUAAAAUUUUCUAAGCAUCACCAAGAUCAAUCUAUGGAGUCAUCUAGCAACAAGAGAGAGAGGAGUGUUGGGAUCGAUGCAGAAAUUUAAAAUUUUCUACGCAUCACCAAGAUCAAUCUAUGGAGUAAUCUAGCACCGAGGGGAAGGGGAGUGCAUCUACAUACCAUUGUAGAUCGCUUUACUCGUUCCGUAACACAUCAUCCCGUGAUCAACUCCUUGGUCACAUUGUGCACAUUAUGAUGAUGUCCUACCGAGUGGGCCCAGAGAUACCUCUCCGUUUACACGGAGUGACAAAUCCCAGUCUCGAUUCGUGCCAACCCAACAGACACUUUUGGAGAUACCUGUAGUGCACCUUUAUAGCCACCCAGUUACGUUGUGACGUUUGGUACACCCAAAGCAUUCCUACGGUAUCCGGGAGUUGCACAAUCUCAUGGUCUAAGGAAAUGAUACUUGACAUUAGAAAAGCUUUAGCAAACGAACUACACGAUCUUGUGCCAGGCUUAGGAUUGGGUCUUGUCCAUCACAUCAUUCUCCUAAUGAUGUGAUCCCGUUAUCAACGACAUCCAAUGUCCAUGGUCAGGAAACCGUAACCAUCUAUUGAUCAACGAGCUAGUCAACUAGAGGCUUACUAGGGACAUGGUGUUGUCUAUGUAUCCACACAGGUAUCUGAGUUUCCUAUCAAUACAAUUCUAGCAUGGAUAAUAAACGAUUAUCAUGAACAAGGAAAUAUAAUAAUAACCAAUUUAUUAUUGCCUCUAGGGCAUAUUUCUAACAGUCUCCCACUUGUACUAGAGUCAAUAAUCUAGUUCACAUCGCCAUGUGAUUAACACUCACAGGUCACAUCACCAUGUGACUAACAUCCAAAGAGUUUACUAGAGUCAAUAAUCUAGUUCACAUCACUAUGUGAUUAACACUCAAUGAGUUCUGGGUUUGAUCAUGUUAUGCUUGUGAGAGAGGUUAUAGUCAACGGGUCUGCAACAAUCAGAUCCGCAUGUACUUCGCAAAACUUUAUGUCAUAUCAUAGAUGCUGCUACCACGUUCCACUUGGAGCUAUUCCAAAUGGUUGCUCCAUUAUACAUAUCCGGUUUUUCUACUCAUAGUCAUCCGGAUAGGUGUUAAAGCUUGCAUCGACGUAACUCUUAACGUCGAACUCUUUAUCACCUCCAUAACCGAGAAAUAUUUCCUUAUUCCUCUAAGGACAAUUUUGACAACUGUCCAGUGAUCCACUCCUGGAUCACCUUUGUACCCUCUUGCCAGACAUGUGGCAAGGCACAAAUCAGGUGCGGUACUCAGCAUGGCAUACCGUAUAGAGCCUAUGACAAAAGCAUAGGGGACGACCUUCGUCCUUCCUCUUUCUUCUGCCGUGAUCAAGCUUUGAGUCUUACUCAACUUCACACCUUACAACUCAGGUAAGAACUCCUUCUUUGACUGGUCUAUUUUGAACUCCUUCAAAAUCAUGUCAAAGGUGUGUGUUCUUUUGAAAGUAUCAUCGGGCGUCUUGAUCUAUCUCUAUAGAUCUUGAUGCCCAAUAUGUAAGCAGCUUUAUCCAGGUCUUCCUUUGAAAAUCACUUUUCAAACACCCGUUUAUGCUUUCCAGAAAUUCUACAUCAUUUCGGAUCAACAAUAUGUCAUCCACAUAUACUUAUCAGAAAUGUUGUAGUGCUCCCACUCACUUUCUUGUAAAUACAAGUUUCUAGCAAACAUUGUAUAAACCUAAAAACUUUGAUCAAUGCAUAUAUUCCGACUCCGAGAUGCUUGCUCUAAUCCAUAGAAGGAUCGCUGGAGCCAGCAUACCUUUUAGCAUCCUUAGGAUCGACAAAACCUUUGAUUGUAUCACAUACAACCUUUUCUUACGAAAACUGGUAAGAAAACUUGUUUUGACAUCCAUCUGUCAGAUUUCAUAAUCGAAAAAUACAGCUAAUGCUAACAUGAAUCCGACGGACUUAAGCAUCGCUACGGGUGAGAAAAUCUCAUCGUAGUCAACUCCUUGAACUUGUGAAAAACUCUUUGCCACAAGUCGAGCUUCUGUCACACCCCUAGCUUCUCGUAUUGCACUAGGCUAACUUCAUGUGUGCAUCAUGUUUAAACUUUGAAAGAAACUUGAAAUGGGGAUUGCCUAAACCCUAGCAUUAAAGGAAUUCACUAGGUUCAACCAAAAUAUUUCUAGUAAAUCCAAAUGGCUUUCAAAAAUGUUCAUCAUUCUUGGAAAAUGCUGGAAAUAGUAACCAGAGGUGAUGCACAUUUUUCCAUGACAUAUUUGGGCUCUGGAUUAAAUCAUACUCUAUUUGCAUUUGGGCAUUUAAAUGCUAUUAAAUAUUUUAAAUGCUCAAAUAAUCAUAAACUAAAAUGUUUACUGUAGGAUAUAUUCCCAACAGUGAUCAUGAGUAGUUUCAUGAGUUUAGGAAGUGUCUAAGUAUUUUUAAUAAAGCCCUAAAGUCUACAGAAUAUUAGAAAACAGAAACAAAUAAAAAAGGAGAGAAAGGAUACCUACCUGGCCUCACCUGUCGCAGCCCACCUGGCCAGCCCACCUGGCCGGCCCAGCCCAGCGCCGUGCCAGUCAUCCCCCACCUCUGCCAGUAGGCAGAGGAGGGACACCGCGACGCCGCCGCGCGCGCCACGGCGUCUCCUGCUUGCCGCCCGCGCCUCUGGAGGAUCUGGACGACGCCCACGUCGCCCGCUCGACCGCCCCGAUACCUCAUUCCCCCCUGGUUCUCUCUCUCGCCCUCUCCUCGCCAUGGCCGAAGCAGCCGUCGCCGUCCCGCCGACGUAGUCGCGCCCACCGUGCUCCCCUUGCCUCUCCGACGCGCUCCCAAGCUCCGCCUCAUCGCCAUCGCCAUCUCCGUCGACGCACGCGACGCCGAACGCCCCAAGCGACGACCCGAGCUCUUCUCCAACCUCCGGCCGCCGGAGAUCGCCUCCGCCGCACCGCCCGCUCCGGACCGUCUCCGAGCUCGCCGACCUGCUCGUCCGACUCGCCGUGAGCCACUGACCCGAACCCCCCUCCUCUGCUCUCCAUUUGCACGCUGUAGCCGUCGCUCCGCCGGAGACCGAACCCCGCCGUCGCCCGCGCUCGUCGCCGGUGCUGCUCCGGUGACCAUUUGGCCCCGGGCAUGCGUCCAUCGUACUCACCGCACCACGUAGACGCCGUAGGUGCUAAACGCACAUCGCCACGGCCACCGCAACCGCGUCCCCGCUCUCUGCCGACUCCGGCCGCCGCAAAGCUCGUCGCCGUCGCCACUCCGGCCACACCCCGGCCGCGCCACCCCCACGGUUGGAUGCGGACGAGCGUCCGCAUCCCGUAGCUGUGCUCCGCGCGCCAAACGGCGCCCCAUAGGGCAAACCCGUGGCUCGCCGCCGCGUCUGGCCUCGCCGGCGUCGAGUCGCCGGCAGGUUUGACCGAGUUGACCAGGGUUUGACCCCCUAGGUCAUUAACAUGUGGGCCCGAGGCCCUGCUAAUUUAGUUUAGAUGCUAAUUAAAUUUUAGCUAACCCACUGACUCGCUGACUGUGGGCCCCAGCCCUUCUAAUUACUUUAGUUAGGAUUUAACGAAACCCUGGUUAGCACUGAGUCAAUGACAGGUGGGCCACACCUGUCAGGUUUGACCUGGACGGUCCUGUUGACCAGCUGACGCCAGCAUGACUUAAUGCUGACGCAUUAAUUUAAUUACUGGAAUUAUUUUUAUACAGGAAAUUCCAGAAAAUACCCUAAACUUCUAAAAAUCAUAGAAAAUAAUCUAUAGCUCAGAAUGAAAAGAUUUAUAUAUGAAAAAUGAUCAGAAAAAUCCAAUCUAUCCAUCUGUACUGGUUUCAUGCAUGUUAGAGCAACCUAACCAUGCUGUUUAGAUGAAACAAGAUAAUGCACUUAUAUGACUCUAUAAAAUGGGUUUGCAUUUGAAUCUUUGGUUCAAAUGGACUCAUCUCAAUCUGUUCUAGCUUGCAUUAGCCCAUAACACAUUCAUAUUGCCAUGUCAUGAUCAUGCAUCAUAUUGUGCAUUGCAUUGAUUGUAUUUCUUCUCUGUUGCCGGUAUUUGUCCCCUCUCGGUAGACGAUGUUCCGGCAUUGUGAUCGUUGACACUAAUGAAGACUCAAUGCUAUCUUCAGAAGUUCCAGGCAAGCAAAACCUCCUUGUUCAUUCCGAUACAAUCCCACUCUCUCGCUCCUGCUCUCUUUUACUGCAUUAGGACAACAACGAUUCAUCUGUUACUUGCUGCGGUAGCUGAACCCCUUUAUCCUCUGCAUGACCUGUCAUUGCCACAAUAAAUAGAUGAAACCCACUAGCAUGAGUAGGAGUUGUUUGAGCCCUGAUGUGCCUACUCAUUCAUGCUUGUUGUCGUGCUUGCUAUUGCUUAGAGUUGUGUCAGGUCUGAUUCAUCGGGGAUGAAUUGGAAAGUGGUGAACAUGUCCUACUGUGUGAGAGCUAAGUGUGUGAACACGAUUUGGUAAAGGUAGAAGUGAGAGGCCAUGUAGGAGUACAUGGUGGGUUGUCUCAUUGGAACCGUCCUCAGGAACUGAGUUCUGUGUUUGUGAUCCAUGAACAGUUACUACCACACAUUGGGUUCCGGUAACUCGACCCCUCUCGACUUAUUAAUCAACUUGAUCUCUGUCCAGGAGUUGCAACUAGUUUCUGGUGUUUGUAGGUAGUGUUAGUAGUCUACCAAGUGGCACCCGGUACAGGUGGGAUUGGGACAGACUAGGCACACGUGGCCUGGUGUACCGAGUGGCACCCGGAUGGUGGGCUCGGGAACCCUGCACACAUCGUUUGGGGCUGUGAGCGACACCCCGGCCGGAUCUCCUUGCGGAUGGAACCCGAAUAGGCGAUAAACCUGGACGAGAGACUUGUGUGGUUAGUCAGGUCGUGGCCGACUCCCUCGCCAGGCUUCCGCUUGAAGGUUGCCGAGGUACACGACGUGUACAUGGUGGUAAGUGGCGAGAGCGUGUGUGAAGAAGUACACCCCUGCAGGGUUAAUAUGAUCUAUUCGAAUAGCCGUGUCCGCGGUAAAGGACUUCUGGGUCGCCUGUACAGUUCAUAGACAAGUGAAAGUGGAUACUCUAAAAUGCGCAAGAUAAGCGUGAGUGCUAUGGAUGGCGUUCUCAUAGGGAGACGGGAGCGGAUCCAUAGUGGUGUAUUGGUAUGGUGAAUUUGUGGACUCGUGUGCGCCACCUCAAAAGAGUUACUUGCAGUUGUAGUUCAGGAUAGCCACCGAGUCAAAGCUGGCUUGCUGCAGUUAAACUCCACCACCCCUUUUGUUGAUACCGAUGCAUAUGUAGAUAGUCCUGAUGUAAGUCUUGCUGGGUACAUUUGUACUCACGUUUGCUUAUUUUAUGUUUUGCAGAGAGACGUCAGUCUCGCUAGUAGUUCCGUGUGGACUUCGUCGUUUAGCUUGAUACCUCAGCUACGAUCUUGUGCCCUCGGCAGGAUCUAGUAGAUAGUCAGGCUUCUCAGCCUUUUUCAUUUAUAGUUGUCUGUACUCAGACAUGUUAAGCUUCCGCAUGUGCUUUGGCUUGUAUGCUCUGAAUGUUGGGUCAUGAGACCCAUGUUUGUAAUAUCUCGCUCUUCGGAGCCUAAUGAAUAAAUACUCUGAGUCGUAGAGUCUUGUUGUGAUGCCAUGUUGUAUUUGCGCAUAUCGAGCAUAUUGUGUGUAUGAUUGAAAUGCUUGGUAUGUGUGGGAUCCGACAACCUAGUUGUUUAUCCUUGGUAGCCUCUCUUAUGGGGAAAUGUAGUCUUGUGCUUCCAUGAGCCAUAGUAGUCCGCUACAGCCCGGUUCACCGGAGUCCUGCUAGCCCAGCACUACUGCUUCGGAACACUUGACUGGCCGGCAUGUGAUUCACUUCGUUCAUGUGUCUGUCCCUUCGGGGAAAUGUCACGCGGUGACAUCCGGAGUCCUGUCUAGCCUGCUACAACCCGGUUCACCGGAGUCCUGUUAGCCCAGUGCUACAGCCCGGAUUCGCACGCUGCUGACCGACAUGCUCGAUGUUGAUUCAUGUAUGCCUGUCCCCGUAAGUUAGUGCCACUUUGGGUUCACGACUAGUCAUGUCGGCCCGGGUUCUCUGUCAUAUGGAUGCUAGCGACACUAUCAUAUACGUGAGCUAAAAGUCACAAACGGUCCCGGGCCAUGGUAAGGCGACACCCGUGGGAGUACCGUGCGUGAGGCCGCAAAGUGAUAUGAGGUGUUACCGGCUAGAUCGAUGUGACUUGGAAUCGGGGUCCCGACAGCUUUGGUAUCAGAGCCUGACUGCCUGUAGGAUUACCAAGCCAAACUGGUCGAAGUUGAGUCCAGAAAUGCUUUAGUGAUAUAAGGGAAUUGAUUGUGGAAGGGAACGUAAGGCUCUUUUACUCCUUUACCUUAUAGCCUUCUGAUCUGAGUCAUCCUCUUCUCUUAUACGGGGAUUAAGAACUAGGCUUCUCAUCUUUCUAUCAGGAUCACGUGUUACUAAUCCGUAGACUCGUAGGAUUGUUGGUCUGAAGCCUCAGUUCAGUUUCUACUACUUCCAUGUGUUGAUAGUUCAUCCCAGAACCUUGAUAUGAUGUUGUUAAGUGACUAUGCAAAUCCUUGUAAAUGUCUCAAAUCCUUUCUGAGCAUUUACAGCCGUUAUGCUGUCCGAGUCAUCCCAGGUUUCUAAACAAUCUGAUGCAUUUGCAAAAUCCUUUCCCUCUAUUUUUGCGUCCCUUUGGGCCAGAUUAAGCACACUACCGGUGCGUUGAGGCACUCUUUUGCCUCGGUAUAUAUGUUGGAGCUAUUAUUAUGACCCUAGGUGUUUUAGGGAGUCACCUAGUAAUGUAGCCAUGUUUUGUGUUCCCGGUGUGAUGAUUCUGGCCACCAUUCUCGAAAGAAUCUCGUGAUGCUAUUUAGUAGUAGGUAUUCUACUCUUGGGUUCUUGACCCAAGAUUCACUCUACUUACCUCAUGUUGAUAGUGUUGCUCGUACCUUUAGGAUAUUAGUAACCUUUGCAAUAGCCCUCGAGGUCCGUGGUAUACCAUUCUUCCAAAUACCAUGAACCAUCCUUGGCAGAAGCUCCUCGUUGAACCAAAAGAUCACAACAAGAGUGCUCUCGAUGAGUUCUCCAUUCUACAUUGUGAAUCUGCCAGUUCUACCUUUCUGCAUGGGUUAUCCGGAAGAAAUAUGUUGAACUUGUUCGACAUACUAACCUAUGCGCCCACAACUCAAAAAGUUAUAUGUUCCUUUGAGUUGUCCCUCUUCAGUCGUAUUCCGACCUUCAUCUAUCAAUUGAUAGUCAAGGGUAUGUGUACGAUCGUGUUCAUCGAUGCCUAUUAUUCUUGUGGUCUGUCAAGCCAUUCUAUUCCGGAAUGACUAGGAGAAACAAACUCCGGUACCUCGUCCAUAUCUAGGAUUGGGUCAAAGAAAUUGUAUUCCGCAGACCAAAAUGUCAAUCCAGCUUUUGCUCUGCUCUACCUUGGAGCGUUACCAUCUUUAUGUCAAGAGUGUCAUGAGAAUUGCACCACCUCUUAUGAAUUCUUGACGCAGUGAUACUUCUCGCCAUCAUUAUUCAUUCCUCGGUCCCGUGUUGUCACAACCGGAAUACCGACAAGUGAACUGUGAUGUGUGAAAUCAAUACUCUGAGCAACUCGUUGCUUGGUAGUUAAUGGCAAUACUCUCAUUCUUAGCGUGCUGGUUAUUGAAUCAUCAUCCUAAGAUUGAUCGUGCUACCUAGUCCUUAUUUUUGGUGCACUCUUCAAUCAGUGAGUUAGGAUUUUUGUCAAACCCUUGCUCAGUUGAUCAUAUCGUCUUGCCCUGAAAAGCAAGAUUGUUCUCGAGCUUAGUAACAUAUGGGUGGUACGUGAUUUUCCGAAUAUCUUCUCGGAAGUAUCACCAAGUCGUCACCUGACCGCUAUGUUGAGUUCGUGAUCAUGUUGGUAUUCUUGUAAACCACCCUUUCUCCAAGAAUCUGUGUUGGAUACCCCUGAGCUAGUUGGUUAAGCCAAACAACAACUUGGAGAGUUGGAAGAUAAAAUCUUGCCUGGCUUAGUUCAUUCUAAGGGAUAUCUUUUUGUGUGUGUGUUGAAGAAAGAUGAUAUCUUCAUUGAUUGAUCCUUGUGAUCAAUUGUUGGAUCUACUGUCUUGUCAAUACUUUGAUUUGAGUGUGGGCUAUCGUCAAAUCAAAUCAGAACCAACGAUGUUCAUAAUGUUGUCUUACUCGUGGUUGUUUCCUCGAGCAUACACCAUUAUAUUCUUUGGGUCUGACCAAUGCUAUCACUUGUUCACAUAAUUAUGGAAGUCCAUCUCCAUUGGAAUUUUGAUAAAUUGUUGCUGAGCCCAUCGGCAACAUUCUUAUCUUCUCCAUGACUCGUGUUGAACAUUAAGUUAGUGUUGGAAACUUGUGCUAGCAUUUUCUUCGUGCUAUCUCAUGAAGGAUAUGUUUGGAUGAAAGAAGUGACUUUCUUUAAUUCACGUGCACUUGAUGUAAGGUGUCGCCGUGGAUCCGAGAAAGAUUGUUUUUGUUUUCUCUGGAACCAUCCCAAGUUAGUCAUGCAUGUGCAAAGUAUGCUAUGGUUUGAUAGGCUCGCUACCUCCAUUCUAUAUGUGUUCCUAGCACACCAAGCCACUGAUUGAUUUGUUCAAGGAAAAGGAGCUUGUUGUGCUAAUUCUAGAUCAUGCACAAGACUCCAAUAUCCUCGAUGAUGGUUCCCCACCUGAACUCGGUAGUGUUUUAUCACAAGACUACUAUGUGGUCAUGCUUGUCCGGGAUAGCGUGUUCACAUAUGUUUAGCAGAACCAACUCAUGUUUUGGAGCUUGCUACCGUAGCUCAUUUCCCGAGAAUCUCGCAACGUCAUCUCGUCGAUUUGUGUUGCAAACCUUCAUUUUCUUCUAGACUCGAUGAGUCUGGAAUAUCCUGUUACCAACCAUAUUUGAGUCUCGGGCAGAUAUGAUGGUUGGAACAUUUUCCAAGAAUUAUAAUAUUGGUCUCUGUGUAACCCGGUAAGUGGAUGUCCUAGCCAACACACCCAGCCGGAAGACCUAUUAUUGUAGUAUCCUGAUUGAUAAAGUUGGCCACCUCCCCAUAAGGAUUCCGUAGGAUUUACUUCCGUAGUUAUUCCUUAUGGAUUCUUGUGUUUCUGAAGUUCGACCUUUACUUGAUGGCCGUGUUGAUGUUUUAAGCAUUGACCGUGUUACGCUAGCACAUCAAGGAGAACAUUAGAAGCGGAGUGCUAAAUGUCUCUCGGUCGAUCAUCCAGAUUUUGCUCCCUUGGCUUCGCUAAGGUGAAAUCUGAGAAAGUGUUGUCCUCCUUUGCACCUGCAUCCUCCAUCACCGUUCAUCAUGGUAGUAUGUUGUGUUGCCAGGAUCCUCGACACGGAUAAUGGUAAAACCUUGAUGAAUAUGGAAAUGCUCAAGUUCUUGAGAGCACGCGCAAGCAAAAUCAUCCAUCGCGUUGUCUUCAACAAGGUAGUCCACAUCAUCCAUUCUAGUCCGAUUAUGUCAUUCUUUUGAACUCCUUCAAACGCUCGUUUGUGAAUUUCCUUAGGCUGGUAUAGGGAGUUCCAAUGAUCUCUGUAUCAAAAGUAAUUCUUUUUGCCACUUAAGGGAUAAUUCCACGAGUCACCCCCUCUAAGAUGUCUCGUUAUGGAAUCGUGGCAACUAUCUCCUCGCUACUUUGAAACCAUGCACCAUCCUACCCAAGCGUGGAGUUGUUGCCUACCAAAUUGAACCCUCGUCAUUGCUACCUUUCCUCGUUCCAGAUGUGUGUUUUGUGUGUCAGCUCAAGAGAUGUUUCAAUGUCUCACUCCAUGAGUUGAUCGUGAGUUGCCAACCUUUGUGAAGAUUGGAUCCUAUAGAGUUUCCCUCUCUUCCGUCGUCAUAGUUGGAUGAAGAUCUCGAAAGCAAAGACGACAAGAUCAAUUUGAAGAAAUGAGUCAACAUCUUCGAUGAGGGUAUUGGAUCGAGAAGAUUGUGUUGGCUUUUGUGUCCCCUUUUCCUCUUACCCUACGCUUGAAUCUCGGGACAAGAUUCUUGUUUAGUGGGGGCGAGUUGUCACAUCCCUAGCUUCUCGUAUUGCACUAGGCUAACUUCAUGUGUGCAUCAUGUUUAAACUUUGAAAGAAACUUGAAAUGGGGAUUUCCUAAACCCUAGCAUUAAAGGAAUUCACUAGGUUCAACCAAAAUAUUUCCAGUAAAUCCAAAUGGCUUUCAAAAAUGUUCAUCAUUCUUGGAAAAUGCUGGAAACAGUAACCAGAGGUGAUGCACAUUUUUCCAUGACAUAUUUGGGCUCUGGAUUAAAUCAUACUCUAUUUGCAUUUGGGCAUUUAAAUGCUAUUAAAUAUUUUAAAUGCUCAAAUAAUCAUAAACUAAAAUGUUUACUGUAGGAUAUAUUCCCAACAGUGAUCAUGAGUAGUUUCAUGAGUUUAGGAAGUGUCUAAGUAUUUUUAAUAAAGCCCUAAAGACUACAGAAUAUUAGAAAACAGAAACAAAUAAAAAGAAGGAGAGAAAGGAUACCUACCUGGCCUCACCUAGCGCAGCCCAGCUGGCCAGCCCAGCCCAGCGCCGUGCCAGUCAUCCCCCACCUCUGCCAGUAGGCAAAGGAGGGACACCGCGACGCCGCCGCGCGCGCCACGGCGUCUCCUGCUUGCCGCCACGGCGUCUCCAACCUCCGGCCGCCGGAGACCGAACCCCGCCGUCGCCCGCGCUCGUCGCCGGUGCUGCUCCGGUGACCAUUUGGCCCCGGGCAUGCGUCCAUCGUACUCACCGCACCACGUAGACGCCGUAGGUGCUAAACGCGCAUCGCCACGGCCACCGCAACCGCGUCCCCGCUCUCUGCCGACUCCGGCCGCCGCAAAGCUCGUCGCCGGCGCCACUCUGGCCACUCCCCGGCCGCGCCACCCCCACGGUUGGAUGCGGACGAGCGUCCGCAUCCCGUAGCUGUGCUCUGUGCGCCAAACGGCGCCCCGUAGGGCAAACCCGUGGUUCGCCGCCGCGUCUGGCCUCGCCGGCGUCGAGUCGCCGGCAGGUUUGACCGAGUUGACCAGGGUUUGACCCCCCUAGGUCAUUAACAUGUGGGCCCGAGGCCCUGCUAAUUUAGUUUAGAUGCUAAUUAAAAUUUAGCUAACCCACUGACUCGCUGACUGUGGGCCCCAGCCCUUCUAAUUACUUAGCACUGAGUCAAUAACAGGUGGGCCACACCUGUCAGGUUUGACCUGGACGGUCCUGUUGACCAGCUGACGCCAGCAUGACUUAAUGCUGACGCAUUAAUUUAAUUACUAGAAUUAUUUUUAUACAGGAAAUUCCAGAAAAUACCCUAAACUUCUAAAAAUCAUAGAAAAUAAUCUAUAGCUCAGAAUGAAAAGAUUUAUAUAUGAAAAAUGAUCAGAAAAAUCCAAUCUAUCCAUCUGUACUGGUUUCAUGCAUGUUAGAGCAACCUAACCAUGCUGUUUAGAUGAAACAAGAUAAUGCACUUAUAUGACUCUAUAAAAUGGGUUUGCAUUUGAAUCUUUGGUUCAAAUGGACUCAUCUCAAUCUGUUCUAGCUUGCAUUAGCCCAUAACACAUUCAUAUUGCCAUGUCAUGAUCAUGCAUCAUAUUGUGCAUUGCAUUGAUUGUAUUUCUUCUCUGUUGCCGGUAUUUGUCCCCUCUCGGUAGACGAUGUUCCGGCGUUGUGAUCGUUGACACUAAUGAAGACUCAAUGCUAUCUUCAGAAGUGCCAGGCAAGCAAAACCCCCUUGUUCAUUCUGAUACAAUCCCACUCUCUCGCUCCUGCUCUCUUUUACUGCAUUAGGACAACAACGAUUCAUCUGUUACUUGUUGCGGUAGCUGAACCCCUUUAUCCUCUGCAUGACCUGUCAUUGCCAUAUUAAAUAGAUGAAACCCACUAGCAUGAGUAGGAGUUGUUUGAGCCCUGAUGUGCCUACUCAUUCAUGCUUGUUGUCGUGCCUGCUAUUGCUUAGAGUUGUGUCAGGUCUGAUUCAUCGGGGAUGAAUUGGAAAGUGGUGAACAUGUCCUACUGUGUGAGAGCUAAGUGUGUGAACACGAUUUGGUAAAGGUAGCGGUGAGAGGCCAUGUAGGAGUACAUGGUGGGUUGUCUCAUUGGAACCGUCCUCAGGAACUGAGUUCUGUGUUUGUGAUCCAUGAACAGUUACUACCACACAUUGGGUUCCGGUAACUCGACCCCUCUCGACUUAUUAAUCAACUUGAUCUCUGUCCAGGAGUUGCAACUAGUUUCUGGUGUUUGUAGGUAGUGUUAGUAGUCUACCAAGUGGCACCCGGUACAGGUGGGCUUGGGACAGACUAGGCACACGUGGCCUGGUGUACCGAGUGGCACCCGGAUGGUGGGCUCGGGAACCCUGCACACAUCGUUUGGGGCCGUGAGCGACACCCCGGCCGGAUCUCCUUGCGGAUGGAACCCGAAUAGGCGAUAAACCUGGAUGAGAGACUUGUGUGGUUAGUCAGGUCGUGGCCGACUCCCUCGCCAGGCUUCCGCUUGAAGGUUGCCGAGGUACACGACGUGUACAUGGUGGUAAGUGGCGAGAGCGUGUGUGAAGAAGUACACCCCUGCAGGGUUAAUAUGAUCUAUUCGAAUAGCCGUGUCCGCGGUAAAGGACUUCUGGGUCGCCUGUACAGUUCAUAGACAAGUGAAAGUGGAUACUCUAAAAUGCGCAAGAUAAGCGUGAGUGCUAUGGAUGGCGUUCUCGUAGGGAGACGGGAGCGGAUCCAUAGUGGUGUAUUGGUAUGGUGAAUUUGUGGACUCGUGUGCGCCACCUCAAAAGAGUUACUUGCAGUUGUAAUUCAGGAUAGCCACCGAGUCAAAGCUGGCUUGCUGCAGUUAAACUCCACCACCCCUUUUGUUGAUACCAAUGCAUAUGUAGAUAGUCCUGAUGUAAGUCUUGCUGGGCACAUUUGUACUCACGUUUGCUUAUUUUAUGUUUUGCAGAGAGACGUCAAUCUCGCUAGUAGUUCCGUGUGGACUUCGACGUUUAGCUUGAUACCUCAGCUACGAUCUUGUGCCCUCGGCAGGAUCUAGUAGAUAGUCAGGCUUCUCAGCCUUUUUCAUUUAUAGUUGUCUGUACUCAGACAUGUUAAGCUUCCGCAUGUGCUUUGGCUUGUAUGCUCUGAAUGUUGGGUCAUGAGACCCAUGUUUGUAAUAUCUCGCUCUUCGGAGCCUAAUGAAUAAAUACUCUGAGUCAUAGAGUCUUGUUGUGAUGCCAUGUUGUAUUUGCACAUAUCGAGCAUAUUGUGUGUAUGAUUGAAAUGCUUAGUAUGUGUGGGAUCCGACAACCUAGUUGUUUAUCCUUGGUAGCCUCUCUUAUGGGGAAAUGUAGUCUUGUGCUUCCAUGAGCCAUAGUAGUCCGCUACAGCCCGGUUCACCGGAGUCCUGCUAGCCCAGCACUACUGCUCCGGAACACUUGACUGGCCGGCAUGUGAUUCACUUCGUUCCUGUGUCUGUCCCUUCGGGGAAAUGUCACGCGGUGACAUCCGGAGUCCUGCCUAGCCUGCUACAACCCGGUUCACCGGAGUCCUGUUAGCCCAGUGCUACAGCCCGGAUUCGCACGCUGCUGACCGACAUGCUCGAUGUUGAUUCAUGUAUGCCUGUCCCCGUAAGUUAGUGCCACUUUGGGUUCACGACUAGUCAUGUCGGCCCGGGUUCUCUGUCACAUGGAUUCUAGCGACACUAUCAUAUACGUGAGCUAAAAGACGCAAACGGUCCCGGGCCAUGGUAAGGCGACACCCGUGGGAAUACCGUGCGUGAGGCCGCAAAGUGAUAUGAGGUGUUACCGGCUAGAUCGAUGUGACUUGGAAUCGGGGUCCCGACAGCUUCAUAGACGGUAACAUCACCGUCCACGUCCGUCUUCUUCUUAAAGAUCCAUUUAUCUCAAUAGCUUGCCGAUCAUCGGGCAAGUCCACCAAAGUCCAUACUUUGUUCUGAUACAUGGAUCCUAUCUCGGAUUUCAUGGCUUCUAACCAUUUGUCGGAAUACGGGCCCACCAUCGCUUCUCCAUAGCUCGUAGGUUCAUUGUUGUCUAACAACAUGAUAUCUAAGACAGGAUUACCGUACCACUCAGGAGUAGUACAUAUCCUUGUCGACCUACGAGGUUCGAUAGCAACUUGAUCCGAAGCUUCAUGAUCACUAUCACUAACUUCCUCUUCAACAGGCGUAGGCGCCACAGAAACAUCUUUCUGUGUUGCACUACUUUCCGGUUGAAGUAGAGGUUCAACAACCUCAUCAAGUUCUAUCUUCCUCCCACUCAAUUCUUUCGAGAGAAACUCCUUCUCGAGAAAGGACCCGUUCUUGUGACAAACAAUUUGCCCUCGGAUCUAAGAUAGAAGGUAUACCCAACUGUCACCUUUGGGUAUCCUAUGAAGAUGUGUUUGUCCGCUUUGGGUUCGAGCUUCUCCGGCUGAAGCCUUAAGCAUUGCAGCCCCAAACAUUAAGAAACGACAACUUUGGUUUCUUGCCAAACCAAUGUUCAUAUGACGUCGUCUCAACGGACAUAGAUGGUGCCCUAUCUAAAGUGAAUGCAGCUGUCUCUAACGCAUAAUCUCAAAAUGAUAGCGGUAGAUCGCUAAGAGACAUCAUAGAUCGCACCAUAUCUCAUAAGGUUCGAUUACGACGUCCGGACACACCAUUUCGUUGUGGUGUUCCAGGUGGCUUCAACUGUGAAACAAUUCCACAAUGUCUUAAGUGAUUGCCAAACUCAUAACUCAGAAAUUCUCCCUCGAUCAGAUCGUAGGAAUUUGAUCUUCUUGUUAUGAUGGUUCUUAACUUCACUCUGAAAUUGCUUGAACUUUUCAAACGUUUCAGACUUGUGCUUCAUUAAGUAAAUAUACCCAUAUCUACUCAAAUCGUCAAUGAAGAUGAGAAAAUAACGAUAUCCACCACACGCCUUAAUUCUCAUUGGAUCACGCACAUCAGCAUGUAUGAUUUCCAACAAGUCACUUGCCCGUUUCAUUGUACCUGAAAACGGGAUCUUAGUCAUCCUGCCCAUGAGGCAUGGCUCGCAUGUGUCAAGCGAUUCAAAAUCAAGUGACUCCAAACAUCCAUCAGCAUGGAGUUUCUUCAUGCAUUUUAUGCCAAAAUGACCUAAGCGGCAAUGUCACAAGAAAGUGGUACUAUCAUUAUUAACUCUACAUCUUUUUGGCAUGAACAUGUGUAUUACCACGACCGAGAUUCAAUGAACCAUUCACAUAGGGUGCAUGACCAUGAAAGGUAUUAUUCAUGUAAACAGAAUAACCAUUAUUUUCUAACUUAAAUGAAUAAUCGUAUUGCAAUGAACAUGAUCUAAUCAUAUUCACGCUCAACGUAGACACCUGAUAACAUUUAUCUAGGUCCAAUACUAAUCCCGAAGGCAGAUGGAGCGUGCGAUGGUGAUCUCAUCAACUUUGGAAACACUUCCAACACACAUCGUCACCUCGCCCUUAGCCAGUCUCCGUUUAGUCCGUAGCUUUUGCUUCAAGUCACCAAUAAUAGCAACUGAACCGGUAUCUAAUACCCAGGUGCUACCGGGAGUACUAGUAAGGUACACAUUAAUAACACGUACAUACUUUGUUGAAGUUGACAGCCUUCUUAUCUACCAUGCAUUUGGGGUAGUUCCGCUACCAGUGACCGUUCCCCUUACAAUAGAAGCACUUAGUCUCGGGUUUGGGUUCAACCUUGGGUUCCUUCAUUGGAGCGGCAGCUGGUUUACCAUUCAUGAAGUUUCCCUUCCAGCCCUUGCCCUUCUUGAAACCAGUGGUCUUGUUAAACCAUCAACACUUGAUGCUCCUUCUUGAUUUCUACUUUUUGCGGUCUUAAGCACCGCGAACAGCUCCGGGAUCAUCUCCAUCCCUUGCAUGUCAUAGUUCAUCACGAAGAUCUAGUAGCUUAGUGAUAGUGACUAGAGAACUCUAUCAAUCACUAUAUUAUCUGGAAGUUUAACUCCCACUUGAUUCAAGUGAUUGUAGCACCCAGACAUUCUGAGCACAUGCUCACUAGCUGAGCUAUUCUCCUCCAUCUUGUAGGCAAGGAACUUGUCAGAGGUCUCAUACCUCUCAACACGGGCAUGAGCCUGAAAUCCCAAUUUCAGCUCUUGGAACAUCUCAUGUGUUCUAUGGCGUUCAAAACGUCAUUGGAAUCCCGAUUCUAAGCCGUAAAGUAUGGUGCACUUAACUAUCAAGUAGUCAUCAGGACGUAUCUGUUAGAUGUUCAUAACAUCCACAGACGACGCUGGAAGGGUUGGCACACCGAGCGGUGCAUCAAAGACAUAAGCCUUCUGUGUAGCAGUGAGGACACUCCUCAUGCAACGGACCUAGUCCGCGUCAAUGCUUACAAUAUCUUUCAACUUAAUCUUUCUCUAGGAACGUAUUGAAACAGGGAGCUACAACGCGAGCUAUUGAUCUACAACAUAUUUGCAAAGACAAUUUAGACUAUGUUCAUGAUAAUUAAGUUCAUCUAAUCAAAUUAUUUAAUGAACUCCCACUUAAAUAGACAUCCCUCUAGUCAUCUAAGUGAUACAUGAUCCGAAUCGACUAGGCCGUGUCCGAUCAUCACGUGAGACGGACUAGUCAUCAUCGGUGAACAUCUUCAUGUUGAUCGUAUCUUCUAUACGGCUCAUGUUUGACCUUUCGGUCUUCCGUGUUCCGAGGCCAUGUCUGUACAUGCUAGGCUCAUCAAGUCAACCUAAGUGUUUCGCAUGUGUUCCGAGGCCAUGUCUGUACAUGCUAGGCUCGUCAACACCCGUUGUAUUCGAACGUUAGAAUCUAUCACACCCGAUCAUCACGUGGUGCUUCGAAACAAUGAACCUUCGCAAUGGUGCACAGUUAGGGAGAACACUUUUCUUGAAAUUUUAGUGAGGGGUCAUCUUAUUUAAGCUACCGUCGUUCUAAGCAAAUAAGAUGUAAAACAUGAUAAACAUCACAUGCAAUCUAAUAGUGACAUGAUAUGGCCAAUAUCAUUUUGCUCCUUUUUGAUCUCCAUCUUCGGGGCGCCAUGAUCAUCGUCGUCACCGGCAUGACACCAUGAUCUCCAUCAUCAUGAUCUCCAUAAUCGUGUCUUCAUGAAGUUGUCUCGUCAUCUAUUACUUCUACUACUAUGGCUAACGGUUUAGCAAUAAAGUAAAGUAAUUACAUGACGUUUAUGUUGACACGCAUGUCAUAAAUAAAUUAAGACAACUCCUAUGGCUCCCGCCGGUUGUCAUACUCAUCGACAUGCAAGUCGUGAUUCCUAUUACAAGAACAUGAUCAAUCUCAUACAUCACAUAUAUCAUUCAUCACAUCCUUUUGGCCAUAUCACAUCACACGACAUAUGCUGCAAAAACAAGUUAGACGUCCUCUAAUUGUUGUUGCAAAUUUUUACGUGGCUGCUAUAGGUUUCUUAGCGAGAACGUUUCUUACCUACGCCAAAACCACAACGUGAUAUGCCAAUUUCUAUUUACCCUUCAUAAGGACCCUUUUCAUCGAAUCCGAUCCGACUAAAGUGGGAGAGACAGACACCCGCUAGCCACCUUAUGCAACUAGUGCAUGUCAGUCGGUGGAACCUGUCUCACGUAAGUGUACGUGUAAGGUCGGUCCGGGCCGCUUCAUCCCACGAUGCCGCCGAAUCAAGAUAAGACUAGUAACGGCAAGUAAAUUGACAAAAUCGAUGCCCACAACUACUUUGUGUUCUACUCGUGCAUAGAAAUUACGCAUAGACCUAGCUCAUGAUACCACUGUUGGGGAACGUAGCAGAAAUUUAAAAUUUUCUACGCAUCACCAAGAUCAAUCUAUGGAGUAAUCUAGCACCGAGGGGAAGGGGAGUGCAUCUACAUACCAUUGUAGAUCGCUAAGCGGAAGCGUUGCAAGAACGCGGAUGAAGGAGUCGUACUCGUAGCGAUUCAGAUCGCGGUUGAUUCCGAUCUAAGCGCCGAACCACGGCGCCUCCGCAUUCAACACACGUGCAGCCCGGUGACGUCUCCCACGCCUUGAUCCAGCAAGGGGAGAAGGAGAAGUUGGGGAAGACUCCGUCCAGCAGCAGCACGACGGCGUGGUGGUGGUGGAGGAGCGCGGAACUCCAGCAGGGCUUCGCCAAGCACUACGAGAGACGAGGAGGGAGAGAGGCAUGGCUGCGCCUGGGAGAGAAUAACUCGUGUAUUGGGCAGCCCCUAGACCUCAACUAUAUAUAGGGGGAGGGGAGGGGGCUACGCCCCCUCUAGGGUUCCCACCCCAAGGGGUGCGGCAGCCCCAGAUCCCAUCUAGGGUGGCGGCCAAAGGGGGGAGAGGGGGAGGCGCACCUGGGGUGGGCCUUAGGGCCCAUCUGCCCUAGGGUUUGCCCCCAUCUUCUCUUGAGGCGCCUUGGGCCUUGGUGGGGGGCGCACCAGCCCACCUAGGGGCUGGUCCCUUCCCACUAUUGGCCCACGCAAGCCUCUGGGGCUGGUGGCCCCUCCCGGUGGACCCCGGGACCUUUCCGGUGGUCCCGGUACAUUACCGGUGAUGCCCGAAACACUUCCGGUGGCCAAAUCCUCACUUCCUAUAUAUCAAUCUUUACCUCCGGACCAUUCCGGAACUCCUCGUGAUGUCCGGGAUCACAUCCGGGACUCUGAACAACAUUCGGUAACCGCGUACAUACUUUCCCUAUAACCCUAGCGUCAUCGAACCUUAAGUGUGUAAGCGACCCUACCCUUGUCUUUCUUGAACUUAGUGGUUUUAUUCACCAUCAACACUUGAUGUUCCUUUUUGAUCUCCACCUCCGCUGAUUUCAGCAUUGAAUAUACCUCAGGAAUGGUCUUUUCCAUCCCCUGCAUAUUGAAAUUCAUCACAAAGCUCUUGUAGCUAGGUGGAAGCGACUGAAGGAUUCUGUCAAUGAGCGCGUCAUCCGGGAGAUUAACUCCCAGCUAAGACAAGCGGUUGUGCAACCCAGACAUUUUGAGUAUAUGUUCGCUGACGGAACUAUUCUCCUCCAUCUUACAACUAUAGAACUUGUCGGAUACUUCAUAUCUCUCGACCCGGGCAUGAGCUUGGAAAACCAUUUUCAGCUCUUGGAACAUCUCAUAUGCUCCGUGCUGCUCGAAACGCUUUUGGAGCCCCGGUUCUAAGCUGUAAAGCAUGCCGCACUGAACCAGGGAGUAAUCAUCAACACGUGUUUGCCAGGCGUUCAUAACGUCUUGGUUUGCUGGGACGGGUGCUUCACCUAGCAGUGCUUCAAGGACAUAUGCUUUCUUGGCAGCUAUGAGGAUGAUCCUCAAGUUCCGGACCCAGUCCGUAUAGUUGCUACCAUCGUCUUUCAGCUUGGUUUUCUCUAGGAACACGUUGAAGUUGAGGUUGACAUUAACGUGGGCCAUUUGAUCUACAAUACAUAUUGUAAAGAUUUUAGACUAAGUUCAUGAUAAUUAAGUUCAUCUAAUCAAAUUAUUAAUGAACUCCCACUCAGACAGACAUCCCUCUAGUCAUCUAAGUGAUACAUGAUCCGAGUCAACUAGGCCGUGUCCGAUCAUCACGUGAGACGGACUAGUCAUCAUCGGUGAACAUCUUCAUGUUGAUCGUAUCUGCUAUACGACUCAUGUUCGACCUUUCGGUCUCUUGUGUUCCGAGGCCAUGUCUGUACAUGCUAGGCUCGUCAAGUCAACCUAAGUGUAUUGCGUGUGUAAAUCUGGCUUACACCCGUUGUAUGCGAACGUUAGAACCUAUCACACCCGAUCAUCACGUGGUGCUUCGGAACAACGAACCUUCGCAACGGUGCACAGUUAGGGGGAACACUUUCUUGAAAUUUUAGCGAGGGAUCAUCUUAUUUAUGCUACCGUCGUUCUAAGCAAAUAAGAUGUAAAACAUGAUAAACAUCACAUGCAAUCAAAUAGUGACAUGAUAUGGCCAAUAUCAUUUUGCUCCUUCUGAUCUCCAUCUUCGGGGCGCCAUGUUCAUCAUUGUCACCGGCAUGACACCAUGAUCUCCAUCAUCGUGUCUUCAUGAAGUUGUCUCGCCAACUAUUACUUCUACUACUAUGGCUAACGGUUAGCAAUAAAGUAAAGUAAUUACAUGACGUCUCAGUUGACACGCAGGUCAUAAAUAAAUUAAGACAACUCCUAUGGCUCUUGCCGGUUGUCAUACUCAUCGACAUGCAAGUUGUGAUUCCUAUUACAAGAACAUGAUCAAUCUCAUACAUCACAUAUAUCAUUCAUCACAUUCUUCUGGCCAUAUCACAUCACAUGACACAUGAUGCAAAAACAAGUUAGACGUCCUCUAAUUGUUGUUGCAAAUUUUUACGUGGCUGCUAUAGGUUUCUAGCAAGAACGUUUCUUACCUACGCCAAAGCCACAACGUGAUAUGCCAAUUUCUAUUUACCCUUCAUAAGGACCCUUUUCAUCGAAUCCGAUCCGACUAAAGUGGGAGAGACAGACACCCGCUAGCCACCUUAUGCAACUAGUGCAUGUCAGUCGGUGGAACCUGUCUCACGUAAGCGUACGUGUAAGGUCGGUCCGGGCUGCUUCAUCCCACGAUGCCGCCGAAUCAAGAUAAGACUAGUAACGGCAAGUAAAUUGACAAAAUCGACGCCCACAACAACUUGUGUUCUACUCGUGCAUAGAAACUACGCAUAGACCUAGCUCAUGAUGCCACUGUUGGGGAUCGUUGUAGAAAUUUAAAAUUUUCUAAGCAUCACCAAGAUCAAUCUAUAGAGUCAUCUAGCAACAAGAGAGAGAGGAGUGUUGGGAUCGAUGCAGAAAUUUAAAAUUUUCUACGCAUCACCAAGAUCAAUCUAUGGAGUAAUCUAGCACCGAGGGGAAGGGGAGUGCAUCUACAUACCAUUGUAGAUCGCUAAGCGGAAGCGUUGCAAGAACGCGGAUGAAGGAGUCGUACUCAUAGCGAUUCAGAUCGCGGUUGAUUCCGAUCUAAGCGCCGAACCACGGCGCCUCCGCAUUCAACACACGUGCAGCCCGGUGACGUCUCCCAUGCCUUGAUCCAGCAAGGGGAGAAGGAGAAGUUGGGGAAGACUCCGUCCAGCAGCAGCACGACGGCGUGGUGGUGGUGGAGGAGCGCGGAACUCCAGCAGGGCUUCGCCAAGCACUACGAGAGACGAGGAGGGAGAGAGGUAUGGCUGCGCCUGGGAGAGAAUAACUCGUGUAUUGGGCAGCCCCUAGACCUCAACUAUCUAUAGGGGGAGGGGAGGGGGCUGCGCCCCCUCUAGGGUUCCCACCCCAAGGGGUGCGGCAGCCCCAGAUCCCAUCUAGGGUGGCGGCCAAAGGGGGGAGAGGGGGAGGCGCACCUGGGGUGGGCCUUAGGGCCCAUCUGCCCUAGGGUUUGCCCCCAUCUUUUCUUGAGGCGCCUUGGGCCUUGGUGGGGGGCGCACCAGCCCACCUAGGGGCUGGUCCCUUCCCACUAUUGGCCCACGCAAGCCUCUGGGGCUAGUGGCCCCUCCCGGUGGACCCCCGGACCCUUCCGGUGGUCCCGGUACAUUAUCGGUGAUGCCCGGAACACUUCCGGUGGCCAAAUCCUCACUUCUUAUAUAUCAAUCUUUACCUCCGGACCAUUCCGGAACUCCUCGUGACGUCCGGGAUCUCAUCCGGGACUCCGAACAAAAUUCGGUAACCGCAUACAUACUUUCCCUAUAACCCUAGCGUCAUCGAACCUUAAGUGUGUAGACCCUACGGGCUCGGGAACCAUGCAGUCAUGACCGAGACAUAUCUCCGGCCAAUAACCAACAGCGGGAUCUGGAUACCCAUGUUGUCUCCCACAUGUUCCACGAUGAUCUCAUCGGAUGAACCACGAUGUCAAGGAUUCAAUCAAUCCCGUAUACAAUUCCCUUUGUCUACCGGUAUAGUACUUGCCCGAGAUUCGAUCGUCGGUAUCCCGAUACCUUGUUCAAUCUCGUUACCGGAAAAUCUCUUUACUCGUUCCGUAACACAUCAUCUCGUGAUCAACUCCUUGGUCACAUUGUGCACAUUAUGAUGAUGUCCUACCGAGUGGGCCCAGAGAUACCUCUCCGUUUACACGGAGUGACAAAUCCCAGUCUCGAUUCGUGCCAACCCAACAGACACUUUCGGAGAUACCUGUAGUGCACCUUUAUAGCCACCCAGUUACGUUGUGACGUUUGGUACACCCAAAGCAUUCCUACGGUAUCCGAGAGUUGCACAAUCUCAUGGUCUAAGGAAAUGAUACUUGACAUUAGAAAAGCUUUAGCAGACGAACUACACGAUCUUGUGCUAGGCUUAGGAUUGGGUCUUGUCCAUCACAUCAUUCUCCUAAUGAUGUGAUCCCGUUAUCAACGACAUCCAAUGUCCAUGGUCAGGAAACCGUAACCAUCUAUUGAUCAACGAUCUAGUCAACUAGAGGCUUACUAGGGACAUGGUGUUGUCUAUGUAUCCACACAUGUAUCUGAGUUUCCUAUCAAUACAAUUCUAGCAUGGAUAAUAAACAAUUAUCAUGAACAAGGAAAUAUAAUAAUAACCAAUUUAUUAUUGUCUCUAGGGCAUAUUUCUAACAAGGAGUGCAUCUACAUACCCUUGUAGAUCGCGAGCGGAAGCGUUAAAGAGAACGGGGUUGAUGGAGUCGUACUCGUCGUGAUCCAAAUCACCGAUGAUCCUAGCGCCGAACGGACGGCACCUCCGCGUUCAACACACGUACGGAGCAGAGAUGUCUCCUCCUUCUUGAUCCAGCAAGGGGGAAGGAGAAGUUGAUGGAGAUCCAGCAGCACGACGGCGUGGUGGUGGAUGCAGCGGGAUUCCAGCAGGGCUUCGCCAAGCGCUAUUGGAGGAGGAAGAGGUGUCACGGGAGGGAGAGGGAGGCGCCAGGGCUUAGGGUGCGGCUGCUCUCCCUCCCCUCCACUAUAUAUAGGGGCUAGGGGGGGCGCAUGCCCCCUUUGGAGAUCCCAUCUAGAGGGGGGCGGCGGCCACUCGGGGGGCAACGCCCCCCUUAGGGUUUCCAACCAGGGGGCGCAUGCCCCCUCGGGGGGGCAACGGCCCCCUAGGGUUUCCAACCCUAGGCGCCUUGGGCCCUUGGGUGGGGCGCACCAGCCCACCAGGGGCUGGUUCCCACGCCACUUCAGCCCAUGGGGCCCUCCGGGAUAGGUGGCCCCACCCCGUGGACCCCCGGGACCCUUCCGGUGGUCCCGGUACAAUACCGGUGACCCCCGAAACUCUCCCGGUGGCCGAAACUGGACUUCCUAUAUAUAAAUCUUUACCUCCGGACCAUUCCGGAACUCCUCGUGACGUCCGAGAUCUCAUCCGGGACUCCGAACAACUUUCGGUUAACCGCAUACUAAUAUCUCUACAACUCUAGCGUCACCGAACCUUAAGUGUGUAGACCCUACGGGUUCGGGAGACACGUAGACAUGACCGAGACAACUCUCCGGUCAAUAACCAACAGCGGGAUCUGGAUACCCAUGUUGGCUCCCACAUGCUCCACGAUAAUCUCAUCGGAUGAACCACGAUGUCGAGGAUUCAAUCAAUCCCGUAUACAAUUCCCUUUGUCAAUCGGUACGUUACUUGCCCGAGAUUCGAUCGUCGGUAUCCCAAUACCUCGUUCAAUCUCGUUAUCGGCAAGUCACUUUACUCGUUCCGUAAUGCAUGAUCCCGUGACUAACUACUUAGUCACAUUGAGCUCAUUAUGAUGAUGCAAUACCGAGUGGGCCCAGAGAUACCUCUCCGUCAUACGGAGUGACAAAUCCUAGUCUCGAUCCGUGCCAACCCAACAGACACUUUCGAAGAUACCUGUAGUGCACCUUUAUAGCCACCCAGUUACGUUGUGACGUUUGGUACACCCAAAGUAUUCCUACGGUAUCCGGGAGUUGCACAAUCUCAUGGUCUAAGGAGAUGAUACUUGACAUUAGAAAAGCUUUAGCAAACGAACUACACGAGCUAGUGCCAUGCUUAGGAUUGGGUCUUGUCCAUCACAUCAUUCUCCUAAUGAUGUGAUCCCGUUAUCAAUGACAUCCAAUGUCCAUGGUCAGGAAACCGUAACCAUCUAUUGAUCAAUGAGCUAGUCAACUAGAGGCUCACUAGGGACAUGUUAUGGUCUAUGUGUUCACACAUGUAUUACGAUUUCCGGAUAACACAAUUAUAGCAUGAACAAUAGAUAAUUAUCAUGAACAAGGAAAUAUAAUAAUAACCAUUUUAUUAUUGCCUCUAGAGCAUAUUUCCAACACUCAGCAAGCGGUAUCUCAUCCAUACCCAUGGCGAGUUCCUUCUCUUUGGUGGCGGUGGUCUUGGUUCUGCGUUGGGGGGCAUUGGAGCCCUCUGCUGCCUCUGUGUUGCGCAUACGCUUGGAUCCCGUGUCACGGCUUGGAUUGGAGCGGCGAGCCGGAGCACCUGAGCCACCACCUAAAACACACACCACAAAACAAACACGCAUGAAACGCGAGAAGGAUCAAUGCAAAGACCACAGCAAAGCAGGUGAAACAAGUAGACAUGGCACGUGAGAAGUGCCACAAGAGGGAUUUGAGACAACGGUAGUAUCGUGUGUUGCGCCAUGUGCGGUAGUACAGCUCCAAGGGGCGGUAGUACCGUAGACGCGGUAGUACCGCACCAGCAGGGCGGUAGUACCGGACCUGCGGUAGUACCGCACCUAAAGAGCGGUAGUACCGCAUGGUUGCAGAUCUGAAACGGCCACGGAGAUCUGAGCACAACCGUGUCAACACGCGGUACUACGGUCGAUCAAAUCCAUCACGGGACAACUAUAGCAAGUACCAUCACUACACAAAACUACUCUCCUACGUCCUACUCUUGCAUAGAUUUGGCCUAAAAUCUCAAGAACAACUUGCAUCUCCCCAAAACCUAAAAGCAACAAGACGAACAAUAAAAAGGGAGGGAUUGGGGAGAAACCUUGUUCCAUGGAAAGAGGGAGUGGUGGGGAAUGAUCCCACCGGUUGGAAUCCGAGGAGAGCGGCCGGAGACGGAGAUCCGGCGAGGACCUCCGGCGCCGUUCUUGAGCGAGAGAGAGAGACGGAGUGGGGAGAGAGACGAAUGGGUAUGGGGGAGUUAGAACUCCCCCUGCCCGUGUUUAACCCCCCACGCGCCCUCGACCGCACGGUAGUACCGCACGUCAUCGCGGUACUACCGCCACGGGUGAAAGUACCGCACCGUGACUUUAGUACCGCUCCCCCAGGCGGCAGUAAAAAAAUUACUGCUGCGCUGGGUGCGGAAGUACCGUGCGCUCCUCACGCGGUAGUACCGCACGUCAUUGCGGUAGUACCGCCCGGGCGGGAGUACCGCACCGAGGCCGUAGUACCGCUCCCCCAGGCGGCAGUAAAAAAUUACUGCCGCGCUGGGUGCGGAAGUACCGCCCCCUCCCUUUUGCGGUAGUACCGUGGCAGGCCGCGGUAGUACCGUGAGCUCAAGAAAAGACAGUUUCAACCAAAAGAGAGAACACCGAAGCACGGAACCUUCAAGCGAGAGACCACACCAAAGAGCUAACACACUGGACACCAUAAUCACAAGCUCGACACGAAGGAAAAGAGGCAAGAGACAACACAGACCAAAAACGAGACACAGACUCUCCAAGGAGAGGGCGGUGGCCGGAGCCACCUAUGUUUGAGUCAAUUGGUAUGGCACCGCGAAGAAUUAUCCUUGGGCCCAUGACCAAAACUCGUCUUUGAAGCACAAGUACCAUCAAAAAUGGCUAAUGUGAAAGAGUUGAUCACUUUAUGCAUAAUGGGGGAGGGAGAGUUCAUUGAGAGAACAACACUCCCCCUAUGUCCAUGCCUACACCUAGAUUAGACAACAAGUUGAGUGUGGUGGGGUGUGCAAGGGUUCAAGCAACAUUUCUCGAAUCAAUAAUAUUUAGCUCAUGCCUUAACUCGCGAAAUCUUGCUUCAUCCAAAGGCUUCGUGAAAAUAUCUGCAAGGUUAUCAUGGGUGUUGACGUAGUUGAGCUCGAUCUCCCCUCGCCUAAUGUGAUCUCGGAUGAAGUGAUACCGAAUCUCAAUAUGCUUCGUCUUGAAGCGUUGCACGGGGUUGAGAGAAAUCUUGAUGGCACUUUCAUUAUCACACCAAAGAGGCACUUUGUCACAAAUGACACCGUAAUCCUUUAAAGUUUGCCUCAUCCAUAAGAGUUGUGCACAACAACUGCCGGCCGCCACAUACUCCGCUUUGGUGGACGAGAGAGACACACAACUUUGCUUUUUAGAAGACCAACUUACCAAAGAGCAACCAAGGAAUUGGCACCCUCCGGAAGUGGACUUCCUAUCCACUUUGUCUCCCGCCCAAUCGGAGUGCGAAUACCCUACAAGCUUGAAGUUUUCUCCUCUUGGGUACCAUAAGCCAAAGUUUGGGGUAUGAGCCAAAUAUCGAAAGAUUCGCUUGACCACCACAAAGUGGCUUUCCUUAGGUGCGGCUUGAAACCGUGCACAAAUCCCCACACUCAACAUGAUAUCCGGUCUAGAUGCACAAAGGUAAAGCAAGGAACCAAUCAUGGAGCGAUAUACCUUUUGAUACACCGCUUUACCAUUGGGAUCGAUGUCAAGUUGGCACUUGGUGUGCAUUGGAGUGGACGCCGGCUUGACAUCACUUAGCUUGAACCUCUUGAGCAUGUAUUGAGUGUAUUUGGCUUGGUUGAUGAAGGUUCCUUCUCUUCUUUGCUUUACUUCGAAACCGAGAAAGAACUUCAACUCUCCCAUGGAAGACAUCUUGAACUUUGAGGUCAUGAGUGCGGAAAAUUCCUCAUUGAAAGCUUUGUUAGGGGAACCAAAGAUAAUGUCAUCAACAUAUAGUUGGCACACAAACAACUCCCCUUUGACCUUCUUAGUAAAAAGAGUGGGGUCGAUUAGCCCAACUUCAAACCCACGAUCUUGUAACAACUCGGUAAGGUGGUCAUACCACGCACGUGGGGCUUGUUUAAGGCCAUAGAGUGCCUUAUCGAGUUGAUACACAUGAUCGGGAAAGUAGGGAUCCUCGAACCCGGGGGGUUGUUUGACAUAAACCAACUCAUUAAUAGGACCAUUAAGAAAAGCACUCUUCACAUCCAUCUGUUGCAACUUAAAGUUGUGAUGAGAAGCAUAAGCAAUCAACAAACGAAUAGAUUCAAGGCGAGCAACGGGAGCAAAGGUUUCACCGUAGUCGAUACCCUCGACUUGGGAGUAGCCUUGUGCCACCAAUCGUGCCUUGUUGCGGAUGAUGGUCCCAUGAGCAUCUUGCUUGUUCUUGAAUAUCCACUUGGUUCCAAUGACAUUGUGGUUCCCCGUUGGCCUUGGCACUAAUCUCCACACCUUGUUGUACUCGAAGUUGUUGAGUUCUUCAUGCAUGGCAUUAAGCCAAUCCGGAUCUUCGAGUGCUUCAUACACCUUUUGGGGUUCAACACAAGAGACAAAUGCGUGAUGUUCACAAUAGUUUGCCAAUUGUCUACAAGUGCUUACCCCCUUUUGAAUGCUUCCAAGCACAUUCUUCAUGAGAUGACCCUUGGUGGAGAGCUUGGAUGCAAUCUUGGUGGCACGACGCUCCAAUUCCUCCUCGGUGGUGAGUUGAGGAGCGAUCAGUUGAUCAUCUUGAGCGCCGUCUUGAGCUUGUUCUUGAUCUUGAACUUGCUCGGAGGAGAGAACUUGACCUUGGGCAUCACAUGGUGUGUCACCACCGUCUUGAGCAUGAUCUUGCCCUUGGUCUUGUUCAUGAGGUUGAGGGCCUUCACUGUGUUCUUCGGAAGCGUGUGGGCCUUGGGUUGGUGAUGGCUCCACUUGAGUGGAGCAUUGUCCUUCUCCUUCGGCCACAAGGGGUUCCUCAAUGGGUAGGAUAAAACCAACACCCAUUCUUCUUAUGGCUUGAGUAGGAAUUUCAUCACCUACAUCACAAGUGCCACUUUGCUCCACUUGGGAGCCGUUAUUCUCAUCAAACUCCACGUUACACGUCUCCUCAAUAAGUCCCGUGGAUUUAUUGAGGACACGGUAAGCAUGAGAGUUUGUAGCAUAACCAACAAAUAUGCCCUCAUAAGCUCUAGCUUCAAAUUUAGACAACCGAACACCUUUCUUGAGAAUGAAACACUUACACCCGAACACCCGAAAGUACUUGAGGUUGGGCUUGUUACCGGUGAGUAUCUCAUAUGGAGUCUUGUUCAAGCCCUUGCGGAGGUAGAGCCGAUUGGAUACAUGACACGCGGUGUUGAUGGCUUCGGCCCAAAAGUUGUAUGGAGACUUGAACUCCGCCAUCAUGGUCCUUGCCGCAUCCAUCAACGUCCGGUUCUUCCUCUCCGCAACACCGUUUUGUUGAGGGGUGUAAGGUGCGGAAUAUUGAUGCUUGAUCCCCUCAUCACUAAGAAACUCAUCCAAGGUGUAGUUCUUGAACUCGGUGCCGUUGUCACUUCUUAUUGUCAAGAUCUUUGCAUUGUGUUGACGUUGGGCUUCAUUUGCAAAGUCAAUGACGGUUUGUUGGGUCUCGCUCUUCCUCUUGAAGAAAUACACCCAAGUGUAUCUUGAAUAGUCAUCCACAAUCACCAAGCAAUACUUCCUACCCCCAAGACUAUCAAAGGAUGGAGGCCCAAAGAGAUCCAAGUGAAGGAGCUCCAAAGGCCUCUUCGAGUAAAUGAUAGUCGUGGGAGGGUGAGCCUUCUCAUGUAGCUUUCCUUUGAUACAAGCACUGCAAGCACGAUCUUUAGCAAAACUAACAUUCGUUAGUCCACGGACAUGGUCCCCCUUGAGAAGACUUUGCAAAGAUCUCAUAUUGACAUGGGCUAAACAGCGAUGCCAAAGCCAUCCCACGUCAACUUUAGCCAUUAGGCAUGUCGCGGUCUUAGUGGGUCGCUCCGAAAAGUUAAUCACAUAGAGACCGUUCUUGACAUGCCCAACAAAGGCUACUUUAAGAGUCUUGCUCCACAAGAGGGCCACGGUAUCAAUAUCAAAGAAAGUGGCAAAGCCCAUGAUUGCAAGUUGACGAACGGAAAGUAAAUUGUAUGCAAGGGACUCAACAAGCACGACCUUCUCAAUCGUGAGAUCAUGAGAAAUGACUACUUUGCCGAGUCCCAAUACCUUAGAAGACGAGGCAUCACCCCACUCGACAUUGGUGGGCAUAGAUGGAAUCUUGUGCACGUCCACCACCAAGUCCUUGCUUCCGGUCAUAUGAUUUGUAGCUCCACUAUCGAGCAACCAUGAUCCCCCACCGAAAGCAAACACCUACAAGAGAUCAAUGCUUGGUUUCAGGUACCCAUUUGAUAAUGGGUCCUUUGAUGUUAAUAACAAGGGUCUUAGGAACCCAAAUAGACCAUUCAAUAUACUCAUGAGGAGAACCAACAAAUUUGGCAUAAACAUGCCCAUCACUAGCACGGCAUAACACAUAAGAAGGAUUAAAAUCGCCGGCUUUGUUGGAAGGGGUGGCAUUGUCCUUCUUGACACCGUCACCCUUCGCAUUGUUCUUCUUCUCCUUGGAAGCACCCUCUCCCUCCUUCACAAAAGUUUGCUUGAGAGGAGGAGGUCGUUUGGUCUUGCCAUUCUUCUUCUUGUUCUUGGGCUUGGGUGCGAACCCAAUCCCCUCCUUGGCCACAACUUCCUUUUGAUUGCUCAAAAGGUCGUUGAGGUUCUUCUCACCUUGUAUGCAUGACACAAGGCCUUUCUCAAGUUGCUCCUUCAACUUAGCAUUUUCCUCAACAAGAUGCACAUGCUCACAACAAGGGUUAGUAGCAUUUGCAUUAUCAAUUAACACCAUAUGAGGAAAGGUGGCUUUCUCCUUGGUUAGCCUCACUUGGAGUUGAUCAUGAUACUCCUUGAGGCUAGCAUGGACACCCUUCAAGACUUUGUGAGCCUUGUCGAGAAUAUCAAACUCCUCUUUGAGUCUAGCAAGAUCAACCCCAAGCUUUGCCUUCUCGGAGUUUAGCACACGAGAAACAACAAGAGCAUGAUCAAGAUCUUUCUUUAACUUAGCAUGAUCAUCGUUGUGUGACUCCUCAAGAGCCAAACUAAGACCACGCUCUUCGUCAAGAGCAUUGGAAAGAUCUGAAAUCUCAUUGGCAUAGUCACGACUAUGCCCCUCCAUCUUAGAGAUGGUAUCUUCGUGAGCCUCGAUCAUGUCAUUGGCUUCACCAAGUUGUUCCAAGAGAGCAACAAAGUGCUUCUUGGAUUUACCCUUGAGUUUACCCAUAAAGGUCUCAAACUCAUUCUCCUCCACAUUUGUCCCCUCAUGUUCAUCAAUGCUAUCCGAAGAAGGAUGAUUAAUGAUGGUAGUUUUGAUGUUGGGGGUUACCUUGUUGGUGGCUUUAGCCAUGAGGCACUUGGCGGUGAUGUUCUCAUUGGGUGAGUCAAAGAGAGACACCCGUGGAGUCGUCGCAAUGGCAACGGAGGCCAUGGCAACCGACUCACCAUCUUCCUCAUCGUCAUCAUCCUCAUUGUACCCUUCUUGUACCACCAAUGCCUUGGGAGAAGUCUUCUUGGUGAAGUUGCUCUUGUUGGGGAAUGACUUGGCCUUGUCCUUUCGGAUGAGCUUUCCACCAUUGUCUUCCCUCUUCUCAUAAGGGCACUCCGCAACAAAGUGGCUCACAUUGCCACAAUUGAAGCAAGUCCUCACUCGUUGCUUGCCCUUUGCGCCACUUGAAUUGUUCUUGUUGAAGUUGGGCCUUGAGUUCUUCUUGCUCGAAAAUUGCCUUGAAGCAAGCACCAUGUGUUCAUGAUAGGUAUACUUCGUAUCUUCGAGGUUGCUCUCCUCUUCUUCCUCUUCAUCCUCUUCCUCCAUACUAACCUUGGCCUUUAGAGCAAGGUUGGGCUUCUUUACUCUUUGAGAGCGAAGAACCGCAUUGUCGGCGGUCUUGUCCAAGAUGCUCAUAGAAACAAACUCAUCCAACACUUCACUUCAGGACAAGGUGUGGAAGUCCGGCCUUUGACGAAUGACGGAGGACAUGGCUUUGUGGUAGGGCAUCAUUGCCUUGAGGAAUUUGCGCUUGAUCCAAUUGUCAUCCGUGUCCUUACUUCCAUGAUCUCGGAGAGAGACCGCGAGUUUAGUUACUCUUCGAUAAAGCUCACGAGGUUCUUCAUCUUCUUUCAUUGCAAACUCAUCGGCUUCAUCUUGCACCACUUCAUAGUUGGAGCGUUGAAUGCUUGCACUUCCCCGAUAGAGGGAAACCACUUGGUGCCAAGCAUCUUUGGCCACGGUGUAGGGCCGGAGAUGAGGAAGAUCUUCGGGUGGGAUUGCUUCUUGGAUGAUGAAGAGAGCAUUCUCAUUGAAUUGAUCAUCCACUGCUUCUCUAGGAGUGAGGUUCCUUCGGUCAUGCGGAUAGAAACCUUCUUCAAUGAUUCUCCAAAGGUUAGUGUUCACAUGAUUUAAAUGACACUUAAAACGAUAGACCCAAGAAUCAAAUUCUACAUUCUUCUCAAUCUUAGGGGCCGGUCCGGCAUGAUUCAAAUGAGUGGAAGGAAGCGGUCCACCAUAGACAAGUGGAGGUUCCACAUGGGCAAAGAUGUCGGUGCCAUUUUUACCACUAGAAGAAGGAGCUUUCUCGCUAGUAGCUUCCCCCUUGUCGGAGGUAGCAUCCGUCACCUUGUUAGCGGGAUCACCCACUUUCAACGGUGCGGUGAAAAGUUUAAGCCCUUCUAAGAAUUUAUUAAACAUGCUUUCGACCUCGGUCUUCAUGGAGGUUUUCAAUGUGUCCAACGCCACAUUGAAUUCCUCACGAGAGACCGUGGUUCCCCCAUCUCCCGUAGAUGAGACCGGAUUCACACCGGAGUGCUCCUCCACACCGUCUACAACGCCAACCAUACUCUUCGGACGGUAAAGUCCUUAAUCAAGAGACGAGGCUCUGAUACCAAUUGAAAGGAUCGAUAUAGUUGACUAGAGGGAGGGUGAAUAGGCACCUAACAAUUUUUAGCUUUUGUUUACCAAUUUAAACUUUGCAUCAAAGUAGGUUGUCUAGAUAUGCAACUAGGUGAGCAACCUAUAUGAUGCAACAACAAUAAGCACACAUGCAAGCAAGAGAUAAAGCACAAAUAAGCUUGCACAAGUAAAGGCACGAGAUAACCAAGAGUGGAGCCGGUGAAGACGAGGAUGUGUUACCGAAGUUCCUUCCCUUUGAGAGGAAGUACGUCUCCGUUGGAGCGGUAUGGAGGCACAAUGCUCCCCAAGAAGCCACUAGGGCCACCGUAUUAUCCUCACGCCCUCACACAAUGCGAGAUGUCGUGAUUCCACUAUUGGUGCCCUUAGAGGCGGCGACCGAACCUUUACAAACAAGGUUGGGGCAAUCUCCACAACUUAAUUGGAGGCUCCCAACGAUACCACGAAGCUUCACCACAAUGAACUAUGGCUCCGCGGUGACCUCAACCGUCUAGGGUGCUCAAACACCCAAGAGUAACAAGAUCCACAAGGGAUUAGUGGGGGGAUUCAAAUUUCUCUUGGUGGAAGUGUAGAUCGGGACCUCCUCAACCAAUCCCUAGAGAAUCAACAAGUUUGAUUGGCUAGGGAAGGAGAUCAGGCGAAAAUGGAGCGUGGAGCUACAAUGGAGCUUGGAGGUGGAAGAGGUAGUCAACUAGAGGAGGAAGACACCCCUUAUAUAGUGGAAGAACAAAUCCAACCGUUAUCCACCAACUCAGCCUGCGCAGCGCGGUACUACCGCACCUGAGGCGCGGUACUACCGCAGGGGCACGCGGUACUACCGCAGGGCCCCGUGGUACUACCGCCCACGCAGCAGAGACCAGAACAACCAAAAAUGCACUAAAGCAGAGGGCGGUAGUACUGCUGGCGCGGUACUACCGCUCCCCCUUGCGGUACUACCGCAAGGCAGGGGCUGUCCAGGGAUGGGAAGGCACGGAUAUAAAAAUUACAUCCGUGGCUACUUCCGCAGAGUUGGAGUCGAUGCAAAAACCCGACGCGGUAGUACCGUAAGCCAGCAGCGGUACUACCGCGCGAGGCGCGGAUGUAAAAAAUUACAUCCGCCCCUUACUGUCGUGUACUUGCGGAACUAAGUCAGAGACCGCGGUACUACCGCUUACUAGAAGCGGUACUACCGUGGGUCCUUGCGGUACUACCGCACCAGCGGGCGGUACUACCGCGAGGUCCUGCGGUACUACCGCUCUAAGGAGCAGUACUACCGCACGCCCUAGUUCGGCAAGCAAGAGCAAUGUUUGCAUAGACAAAGAAAACAAAGGAUGCUCCAAAGGCUAGAGGAAAGGAGGUGCAAAGGAAGAUGUGUACGUGAUGAAUCCACCCAACCUUUCCAACGCGGACCCCCUCUUAAUAGUACGGCUUCCCUACGACUCAAUACCACCAAAAAGAAACAAAGAGAAACGCCGUCUUCUAUAGCCUUCGAGGGGAACCAAAUCAUCUUGUGCCUAGUCAAUAUAUCUGAAAUAUUCGAUGCACAUGAUUAGUCCGCAAAAGCAUUGUCAUCAAUCACCAAAACCAACUAAGGGAUAAAAAUGCCCUUACACACGCCAAGUGGUGUCUUAUCUCCGAGUGAAUCUCCUAGUAAAUAUAGCUCGACUUCAAGGGGUGUCUUAUCUAGCAGAGACUAUGUGUUUUGUGUUUCAAGCGCAACCUUCUAAUUGGAAUUGCCUCCGGUCUUUGCAUACCUCCACAUCGAAUAUCCCAAGUCCAUCGUGCAUAUAGAUAUCAGCCAGGUAUUGUAAUAUGUUAGACACAAACUUCAAUGCCAAACUGUCUAACUUUGGGCUUGUGACACAAGUCAACCAUACCCAAACCUCACGCACGACGAUGAAUAUAGCCGGGACUCGAUCAUACAACGACCCAGCAUGUUUUGAGACCGGAAAGACAUGUGGGCAGUCUGAUGUGUACGGCUUAGGCGUGAUGUUGCUCAAAAUUGUCUGUGGUGAAAAACCAACCACACAGGCUAAUGGCAAGAACAACCUUAUCGAGAAGGUCCUAAAAUGUCAAGCGAACAAUACAAUUCUCGGUGCAGAUGACAAAGGGUUGAGAGGCCAAUUUGACGGGGAACUCAAAAGUGUGUUGGAGAUCGGGCUCAUGUGUGUCAACCCGGAUCGUCAGCGUCGUCCACACAUCAAAAGAGUGAGGGGUUUCUUGAUGCAACUGCUAUUUUUAGUGUCCACUUCAAACCCCACCAUCCCUUCUGGAGUAAAUGGGAGGGGACCAAGUAGCUCCAACACAUACCCUGCGCAUUCACCGGCCGAUGAAGAAGCCGACGAUUCACCACUGCUAGUCUAGCCUCAAUAUGAGGUACCCCCUCCAGCGAAGGACUGCCAAAUGAAGUUCAUAAUUUCCACAAAAAAUGAAGUGAAGUUCGCCAUGGAAGAUACUUCUUCCCUCUUGUUAACUAUAUGCUGCAUCCAUCCAUUCACCCAUCAUGUAUGCCUGUAUUACCUCUUUCUCUAUGUGUGAUACAGUAAUAAACAUAUAUAUAAUGUGAAAAUGUAUUGAAUGAUGAAUCUAAUAGUGUUGAUUUGGUAUUAUAGAUGUUGAUAAUUUUUUUCUAUAGUUUGUUUUAAAAUUUAUGUAGUCUAACUUACAACGAUAGUAAUACACCUUGAAUGCACCGAUACGGAUACGGGUAUCAGUAUCGGGCCAAUACGGAUACGUUGUAGCUACCCAAAGCAACCUGGAGAAGAUGAAAAUAAGAAAUCCUCAGAGAUCAGAGAAGAAAGAAGAGGAGAUGAGCCUGGCUGGGCAGGAGAAAUGGAGAAGAGAAGUGUAAAUACAUGGCUGCUGCGUGAGAGGGGACGUUGAUGAGGAGGAGGAGGAGCUUGUUGACGGCUAGCCGCCGCCGCUGUCCCAGGGACCUGGGUGAGCAGCCGCUGGCGACACAGGCGCCGCCUGGUGUGAGCACGGGAAGGGGGAAAGACGUUGUGAGGGAAAGGAUAGAGGGCAUCACGGCACCAGGGUAGUUGGUUGCCUCUUAAAUGGGCUGAGUGGGCUCUUACCUGGGCUGGAAAAGUAUCCAAGACGUAUUAACAAAGUAUCCUUCGAGUAUCGUAAUUGUUUUAAAUCAUUUAUUCUCAGAUACUCCAGGGACACGUAUCGGGGGCGUAUCGGAGGAGUAUCAGUAUCGGAUACGGAUUCGCUGGUCGACUGAAGUAUCCGUGCAUUCGAGUAAUACACAAAGUAAAUCCGUAAAAAAACAUCCUAAGUAAGUUGAAACGGCGGGGUGCGAAAAAUAUCCAUUUUCAAAUCCUACCGAUUUCACUAACCAAACCAAGGAAGCAGCGCACUGGAUUUGCGCUGGCAAUGUCUUUUGAUACAUGUGCAAAAUCGUCGUUAAAGCAAUUUGUGUAUGCAUACACACAACGAAAUAAAGGCAGUAUACAUAUUGCAGCCAGAGCAUUCGCAUCUCUCAUCCAAUAUUACAGCAAACCAGCAGGAGUACAUCAGGAAAUCAAGAAACAUGGCACCAUGUCCUCACCCGACAACAGUCCACCAGUCCCCAGAUCGGCGGAUCGAUCGAUGGAUCAGCGAAGCUCGUGGAUCACUUGUUGUUCAUGAGCACCUUGACGAGCUCCUUGCACUGGACGCGGCCCUCGCCGCGGGGGUCGGCCUUGCGGAGCAGCUCGUCGGCCUCCUCCUCCGUGAGCCGGUCGCCGUGGGUGAGCAUCACCUGCCGCAGCUGCUCCGCGGGGAUGACCCCGCUCCCGUCGUCGUCGAACGCGUCCAGGCACUGGGCCAGGCCCUUGGCCGACACGCCGGCGUUGGCCUUGCGCGCCGCCACGGCCAGGAACGUGGGGAGGUCGACGGCGCCGGCGCCGCCCGCGCCCGCGUCCUCGAGGAAGCCCCGCGCCUCGGCCUCGUCCACGUUCUGGCCCAGCGAGCGCAGCGCCGUGACCAGCUCGCCGGCGGCGAUGCGGCCGUCCUCGUCGCCGUCGAACAGGUCGAACACCUCCUUGCACUCGUCCGCCUGCGCCUGGGUCAGCUUGGCCGCCAUGGCGGGGAGAGACCAGAGAGAGCUGAACUGCUGAAGGGAUAGGGGAAAGAAAUGGACUGAUUGAUUGGCCUAAUUGCUGUCCGGGCUGUUCGUCACGAUGAAGCAACCUAGCGAAGGUCGCUUUUCUUUUCUUUUGACAGGUCAAAAAUUAAGAGAGAUCAUAAGCAAUGACAACUUUCCCUCUCUCGUUAUUCUCCGAAGCAAAUCGCUUUGAACUCUGCCGAUUUUAGCAUCUUUAUGGUAAAGAUAUUUAUAUUAUGAUAAAAAAAUCAACGGCUUAUGCUUUGAUGUAAACAACUGACAGGUUGAAAAGGGAAAAAGAAUAAUAGUUCAACGAGCUGGCGCCAACCAUGUGCCCAACAAUUGAUCAUCAUAGCAUAGCGACGUGCCAUCCACCACAUUUGGUUUCGAUCAAUCAUAAGAUGUGGUACAAGUUGCAAAUACAAUGCAGCUGUUGGAUUCGCUGUCGACUUGAGUUGUGUUUCGUCGUCCAACAACUGUACCAAGGCGAAUUUGCUCCAGCGCAGUUCAGAGAUCACUACCACCGAAGUUGUACAAAGUUCGCAGAAACCAAGCAUGCCAAAUGAAAUCCAUACAAUGUACUUCCGGCUAACACAAACCAAGCAGACAUUUAAAAUGCAGGGCGAAACCAAGAUUUGCACAAAGCCCCUAAAUUCCAUGAUAAGACGAAGCCUAACAGGCAAGAUAAGUGCCACAACCAAAAGAAACCAGGUAAUUCCGAUGCUGCUCCCCACGACUACACCGCUACAAGAUAACCCGACCAACUACCCAACAGGCAACAGUACUUAAAAAAACAGGCGCAUAGCACAAAAUACAACUUUGCGAGUCUGUCUGGCAUUCCAUUCCAAUCCACUUGAGAGCAAAUUUCAAGCUUAUUUCGUGGGAGGGACCCCUGUCCUCGCCACCUCAC
RNAcentral lists this long non-coding RNA (58184 nucleotides) under Triticum aestivum (bread wheat). RNAcentral's name for it is "long non-coding RNA (TAES_LNC019587)". Lineage: Eukaryota; Viridiplantae; Streptophyta; Magnoliopsida; Poales; Poaceae. The record is from RNAcentral.